AAAUGCAGCAGUUGAACUUGGAAAAUUUGGGAUUAGAGUUAAUUGUGUGUCUCCUUAUGCUCUUGCAACUCCUUUAGCAACACAAUUUGUUGGAUGUAAUGAUGGUGAGCUUGAAACUACCAUGAACACGUUGGCUAAUCUUAAGGGUGUGAUUUUGAAAACUGAUGAUGUGGUAAAUGCAGCACUUUAUUUUGCUAGUGAUGAUUCGAGGUAUGUGAGUGGCCAUAAUUUGCUCAUAGAUGGAGGAUUCAGCAUUGUUAAUCCAUCCUUUCACAUGUUUCAGUAUUCAGAUUCUUGAUUUUGUUUACUACCAUGAAGCAAUAAUAAUUAUGAAGAAGUUAGAAUAAGGGAUCAACUUGGCUUUGAUUGUAAUUUUAUAUUGUUGCUACAAAUGUUUUGGAUUCUUCUGUAUCUUAUGCUUGGGUUUGUACCUAUGGGUGUGGUUAUCAUGCAUAAGCCUAACUUAUGCACCAUGCAUAAGCCUGCAUUAAUCCAACCCAUUAUGCACCUAGCCCAAUAGAAUUGCUUCCUACAUCCCAAAAGAAUUGCUUCCUACACCAUGCAAGCAAACAAGACAAAACAACACACAUCACCGUCUUCCAACAAACGGUAACAAACACGACCAAACUUCCACCUUCGCAAAUCACGCCAGAAGCAAACUUCCACCACCGGAAACCGUUCCACCACUGGAAACCGCAUUCACCAUAACCGCAUUCACGUCGGAAACAACAUUCACCACCGGAAGCAAAACACGUCGGAACGGUAACAAUCACGUCGCAAACUUCCACCACUGCAAAUCACGUAGGAAACAAACUUCCAUAACCGGAAAUCGCAUUCACCAUAACCGCAUUCAUAAUCUUCAUCAUCAUCGCAGCAAAACAGUUGAAAAUGAUGAAAACAAAACAGGUUUCAUCUGUAACCCUAAAUUCACAGUUUAAUUUCGAAUUGGUUUAAUUUCUGCAAAUGGUUUCAUAGUGUUGAUUUGUUUAAUUUAUGGAAAUGGUUUCAUAAUGUUUAAUUUCGAAUUGGUUUAAUUUCUGGAAAAUCAACUCUGAAAACCAAUAUGUUGUGUAAAUGGUUUUCGCAAGUUUUACUCUGAAACCAUUUUAUGUGACAACUUUUGUUUUAGGGACUUUGUUAGCAUAGCAACACAUACACACACACACAAACAUAAAAAAAUUAACAAGAAUGGUGUGUGUGUUGAAGGAAGUGGUUGAUCUCACAGCACUGCAUAACUUCCCAAAAUCCUUACCUAUUGUUGCUACUUCUAUUUCUAUCUGUUGCACAACCAUAUCUAUAUGUAUCCAACAAACCAACCAAGAACUAUAAAAACUUAACAGAAAGAAAAAAUAUAUAUAACAUAAAAGCUUAAAGUGAUUUCAAGAGAUAGGUUGGGAAAAUUUGCAGGUGUUUGAAGACAAGUAUGUAGUGUGAUAGUUGUGGAUGUUCUCAAGAACAAAAAAGUGUUGUUAGAAGACUAGAGCAUUAUUAGUUUAAGUUAAGUUAGUGCAUUUUGAAAAGAACAAAAAAAGUGUUGCUAGAAGACUAGAGCAUUAUUAGUUUAAGUUAAGUUAGUGCAAGAGUUGAUUGUGAGUCAAGAGUUGAUGAAAGUUUUGGUUUUAAGAAACAAAAAAAUGUAACUCUUCAUGGACGUGAAUGCUUAAACUUUGACCCAUCUAUUUGUGUCUCUAUUAUAGUCCUCACAGUUAUUGUUUAAUUAUUUAUUAGUAACAUUUUGUCAUAUUAGGGAAAAAAUUGCCUAUGUGUGCCUUUGUGGCAACCAGUUUUAACAUGUGUAAGUAGAUGUGUUAGUCUUGCCUUUCUCUUAAUUUCACUUCAGAUUUUUUUUAUUGCAUUCUUGAUUUUCAAUAAAAACCAAUGUGUUUAUUAUAGUAUGUUUUGUUUAAAAAUUAUGCCAAAACCAAUGUGUUGUGUAAAUGGUUUUUGCAAGUUUUACUCUGAAACCAUUUUGCUGUUGAAAUGGUUUCAGAGUGUUGAUUUACUUUGAAACUGUUUUUAACAAUCUCUUUAACAUCCUCUAACAUAAAUUACUCACAAGAGAGCCAACUUAUGCCAAAAGCAUGCCACUCUUAAUACCACACAAUAAAGGAUUUCCUUCUGUCGGCUGCAAUUCAAAGAUAUUCAUUCAUAUCGUGUGUAUUUUAGAUACGUGUAGUAUAAAUUAGUAAUACUCAUAAAAUUUAAUUGUGUUUAUUGUUGAAAUGGAACAGGUAGUACAUAUGAAGUCUGAAAAUGAUCCUGUAAAGAUGAUGAGUAUAAAUUAAUCUCUGACGCAUUGCAACAGAUGAGUAUAAAAAAAUGUGUUCUACUUUAAAUUUAAUUUUGGUACAAAUAGGACCACCAUAAUCACAUACAAUGAGGCCUAGACGUCACCGAAAGAACGUUAAUCAUGUUUCUUAUAUAUAAAACCAAAAAAUACAUCGUUAUAUGCAGUGACGUAAAAAAGAAGUUAGGAACUAGAUCAACUAAGAGUUUAUUCGAUGCAUGGAUUUUCAUUUAACUAUCUGUUUAUGUAAGGCCUUAAAUUUUUCAGGAAGUUUACCAUUUCUUACAAGUCACUGUACUCAUGGCUCAAUCUUUAUAUCUGUGAGAAGUAUUCCUAACCACUUGCUUGUAUGAAAAAAAACAUCCUUUAUUAGAUAUUUAUUUAUGUUUCAUAAUCAUUUUGUAUUCACUAGAAAAUGCUUUACUUCCUAUCUAGUUGUUACUUUUUUCAUUGACGAUGUGAUAGAAAUAAAGAGAUAAAGAAAAUGAGUUGUUGAACGAGUGUAGGAAAAUUUGUGAUGUUUAAAUAUCAUUGUUGAUUGCAUCUCCCUGCUUUCCUUAGGUGUCGGUGUCACUAGUCCAUUGUGUGAAAAAUAUAAUAAAGCAUCCAUCCUAAGAAAGAGAAUUAAUGUCUUAAAAGACUACUGUAUAAAUUGGUCCAAGUCAAUAUGUGCUGUUUUUAAGAGUAAAAUUUGUGUCAGUUGGAAUCUUUUAAUUUUCUCCUCAUAAAAUUCAAGACUUACGUGAAAGAGGAACUCAAUGGACUCUGCUAAAAAAUUUCUCUACCUUGUCACAAUCCAAAAUCAUAAACACAAGUUGUUAGUGUUAUAUAACUCUUUGAUUCUACUACUUCUCAGCUUCUCUUUUUGCUCUUGUUCUUCUGAUACCAUAUCUAUUUGGUUUUAUUGUAUGUGUGUGUGAAUUAUUUGAAUAUAAUCACGUGUGUUUAUGCCGACACUGAAAUGAAACCAAAUAUAUUAGUGUCACAACUUCUGACACGCGCCGACAUGACCUGUUGCGGUUGUCCUAAUUUUUCCGCUCCGCUAUAGCGGCCAGCGUGGCCGCUUUUGACAACAGAGGCAAGAAUGUCUCAUGUUAUUGAAAAUCCAAUGGCACAUGAUCCAACUCAACAGUUGGAUAUCAUAUAAACUGAGAUCAAAUAGCAGAGUAGCUGCAGUGUUGUGACCUGUGAUUACACUUCUAUAAUCAGCUGAAUGGAAUGAUUCUGUCCAUUCAAGCAGUGUAGAGUUUGAUUCUUCAGUGCUAAGGUUGUAACAGAUAUGAUUGAAGAAUAUGGUGGUUGCAUGUUGACUGAAAAUUGUAUUUCCCCUGUGCCUAAAAUUAUGAGUAUAGACCAAUUAAAUAGGUUUACACUACUUAAUUAAAUUGAUACCAAAACUAUUACAAUUCUAUUUAUUCUCUUCUAUAGAUCAGAAUUCUUGAACUCACGCUUUCAUCUUAUUUUGAAAAAUUCAUUUUUGUUAUUUUUGUUGAUUAUUAAGAUGAAAGAUGUAUUUUUCUGAAAAUGAUAUUGUGACCAGUCUGAGGGAUACUUCGCUAUAAGUUGCAACACAUUUGCAAAUUGUAAAUGAACUCAAUUUAGUUCAUUGGAUUCUAUGUUUAGUUCACUGCAUGGGUCUUCAGUGAUUUUUUAUUUCUUCUUUUCUGGUUGUUGGGCAAAACAACAACAUGAAAUAACUUAAAGAGCAAUGCUAAGUUGCGCACAAUUAACCACACACUCUCUUGCACACUUUUAAUAGGUAAAAAUUGUCAUGAAUCUCUUUACUUUAGCAAAUGUGUCCCACCAAAUACGGAAUGAAACCUAGGUGAUUUAGUUGUAUCCACAUGAUUUUUUUUUAACCAAUACCAAGUGUGUUAUAUUGUGUCUUAUUAGUACUCCCUCCGUGCCUUAAUGUAACCCCCCUUUGCAUUUUUCCCUCCAUCCCUUAAAAAAUAUGCCAAAACCAUUGUGCUGUGGAAAUGGUUUUGGUGAGUUGUAAUCCAAAACCAUUAGAUGUAUUUAAUGGUUUUCUUUGAUCAUGCAGGUAAAAAAAACUAAAGAGCUAGAGCCAUUGCCAUCAUUCAGUUUUGGGCUAACACAAAUGGAGGAGGAGGAAAGGAAUGACACAACUUCAUCAUCUGAUGGUGGUAAAAAAACAAGAAAGUCUAAGGGUAAAGAAAAGAAGAAUCAUAAAAAGAAACAACAAAUGGUUGCACAAGAUUCUGAUGAAGGAAGUUCAAAUGAUGAAAAUGUCAAGCAAAGACUGAGGCACAAGAUGAGUAUACCUAAGGUAUAUGAGCUUAUGAAUUCAGUAAAUGGCAAAAGAAGAAAACAUGAGAUAAUUGACGCAUAUCUGCAACUGGAAAAGAAUCCACACUUUCUUUGUGGAUUGGGUUGUUAGAAACUUUCACAAAGAGAACAUGUGCAUUGUAUUAAGCAAGACCGAGGUGCUUCCAUUGAAAGAGGAAAAUGUACAUAGGGUGUAUGAGCUCCCAAUGGAAGGGAAGAAGAUUAACGUCGAUCUCUGCUCUGAGGAAGCAAUAAAGAAAUUGAGGAAAGAAUUGGGACUGAAUGGAUAUUAUUCAGCUUCUGUGAGGGUGACAGAUUUGGAAAGAAUAUUGAAGACACUAGAGAAACCAAAAGCUUGGGUGAAGGGUGCAAUUUGUUUUAUCAUUCACAAAAUUUUGUGCCCGACUAAUAGUAACUUUGUAUCUCUCCAAUAUGCGUACAUAUUAGAAGAUCCGGCUGGGGUAUCAUAUUAUAAUUGGUGCUCACAUGUUCUUGGGUAUAUGAAAGAGGGCCUUCAAACUCCGGAAAUUGCAAAUCCAUUAGCGGACUUCCACUUCCUAAUGGUGAUCAUUCUAUAUAUAUAUAUAUAUAUAUAUUUGUAUUUUUAAAACAACUAAAUGGUGGAUUUUUAAUUUAUGUAUGUGCAUGUUUUUAUUGUGCAGAUUAAUUACUUGGAGAAAAUGGGGAAGAAAAGCCCAUUUCUAACAGGAAAAUACAAGCGGCCAUCACUUCGUGAUUGGGAUGUCAAGGCGGCAAACCAAGACCUUCAGAAGGUCCAUGACCUUAUGGGACUCGAGCAUUAACAGAGAUUGUCACUACUGCCAACUACACUAUUUAACCUCUUCAUUCUUUUACUUUCACAUAUGCAAAUGUAUUCAUAAAAUUUUUGUUAUAUAUUUUAUGGUAUUCAUUGAAUCAUAGACAAAGCUGGAUUUGUUUCACUAAAUCAUGCUAUGCUUAACUGCAGCAUAUGAACAAACAUAACUAUAGCUAAAAACAACAACUGCUAUUCACUUUUUAACUUUUUCAUUCUUUAUUUUCACAUAUUCAAAAGUAUUCGUCAAAUUUAUGUUAUACAUCAUUUUAUGGUAUUCAUUAAAUAUAUAUCAUCCUCUUCAUUUUUACAAUUGGAUGCCCUCAUUAUGAAACCAAAUGAUAUAUAUCACCCUCUUCAUUUUUACAAAUGAUAUAACAUCUUAAUGAAGAGGCAGGUGUAAGAUUUAUUAAAAACAGAAUAGUAUUGAAAAUUCUUUCUGUAUUCACCAUUAAGAGGCUCACAAGUCACAUCUACACCUAGCUUUUAAGAAUUUCUAAGUUGUAUAGCAAGUAUAUGGAAAGGAGACUUUAUUAGGGAAACCCCUAUGCAUUCUUCAAACAUAUAUAUUCAUUCAAACCACAACUUUUUUUCUUUCUUAGAAAUAGUUGGUUAUGCUUAUUAGAUAGAAACUCUUUAUUUUAGUGCUGCUCUAAAGGUGCAAAAGUUGUCCCAAUUACAUUAUUCUCAACUCAAGACUAUGCUAAUUAGCCUUUUGUCUCAUCACAUCUAUUAGAACCGCUUAGGCUAUAAUACUGAAAACUAAACAGUGCAAAUUGAUUAGAGAAGAAAACGCAAUUAGCAUGUUAACAAAAUAUCACAUUACAUAUAUGAAAAUAGUAGAAGCAACUUAAUUAAAAUGGAGGAAAAAAAGCUUACAUUAGGUUGAUCUAGGUAGAGGUAAUGGUUGCCUCUCAUCAUGCCCCACUCGAUGAUUGGCUUGGAAAUGUGCAUAAUAUAAAAUAAAAUAAAAUAAAAUAAAAAGAGCAAUCAGUUGAAUGCAUAAGAGACGCUAAAAAAAUAAAAUAAUAUAUAGUAGUUUAUUCCAUUAAGUUUAUUGUAGUCCUAUUCUUAUAUAUGACUGUGCUUUGCUAAAACAAUAUGCAUGAUGUAUCCUAACUUUGCAGAAAAACUUGCAACAAAGUAAAUUAAUAUGUUUAAAGAAUGCAUAGGUGGAGAUGCGACUAUUAGGAUUUUAAAGGGGAUGUUUAAAGAAUGGAUAGAUUUAGAUGUGACUAAUAUAAGUAAAGAAUGCAUAGUAUAGCCUCUUAAGAAUGCAACAAAUGUGAAGGAAUAGGAGACUUUAAAUUUAAUUAGAUUCUCAUUCUGCAAGCAUUCCUCAUGAAGAAACCACAUCAGCAACAUGAAUGCACACCAAAAGAAUACAAGAAUUAAUAUAUUUCACAAAAGUUAAUUUUUAUUAUGAAAGGGAAGAUGAUUACACAGUGAAAGAAAACUUGAAUCUUCUAAUCUUAAUGCAAUCUACAACAAAGGUGUAAACAUAGUGGUUACGAGUUGGUUAGGUAUUUAUAUGGUGUUUCCUUUGGAUCUCCGCGACCAUCUUUAUCAGUUUUCUCAUAUGGCUGGAUUACCACGGUACACACAAUCUUUUUUUACUGGUAUUUGGUUUGCAUUUGUUUGGAUCAUUUGGAAGGCGCGGAAUGAACGUAUUUUUAAAGAUGCGCUUACACAUCCUUAUGCUCUUGUCGAGAAAGUAAAAUUACAUUCUUUUUUGUGAGUGAAGGCAAAACAUCCAUCUUUUAGCUAUUGUUAUUAUGAUUGGUGGAAACACCCAUUGCUAUGUCUAGGCUUCACUAAUCACUAGAAUAGAUUUGUUUUGUGCCUUUCUGUUUGUUCUGGCUCUUUGAUUUUGUAAACUUUGCUCGGUGAACCACUUAUUUGCACACCUUUGUGCAGGGUGUUUUUACCGAUGUUAUUAAUAUAUAUCAUUUUGUUUGUUAAAAAAAAAUAAAAAUAGUGUAGCAAAAAAAUUCUGCAAAAUUGGAAUUUGGAGGCAUCUUUGUUGCAUUACCAGACGUAUUUAUUUUAAAAUUUUGAGAUCAAAUUAAUUUAGAUCAUAUCUUAAGUACUAAUUGAUAUAUUUUCCCACUAUGCAUAGGUGGCAAAUGCAACAUUAAAGAAUCUAAUGAGGGUGAUGGUGACUCCAGGACUCACUAUGUACCAUCUCAAUAACCAUUUACAGGUAUUUUCCCAUUUGAAAUUAUGUUAAUGAUAAAAUAUAGAGUUUGAGUUUGGUUUUUUGUUAAUGAUAAAAUAUAGAAAUGGAAAUGCCAACAGUUACACUGACUGGUGGCGGCACCCUUUAUUAUGUAUGGGUUUAGGAUUUAGUUCUUUUUUUGUUGAUAUCUCUUUAUUGUGUUUUUUGCCAACAGACAUUUAACUUUGUAUUUCUUUUGAGUGGUUCUCAUUUGCACUCCUUGUGCGUGGUGAAUCACUCUUGUUGAGUUUAAUUCCAUUUUAGCUUUUUCAAAAAAAAAAAAAAAAAAUGGAAAUGCCAACAUUGGCAUUUACAAAUGACGAUCAAUACUAUUCCUAUCUAGAUUGUAACUGAUGCAUAAGGACAUGUUAACCAAUUUGGAACAUGAUUUCUUCAGGUCACAAAAAUUUACAAUUUAGAACUGAUGCUCAAGUAAAAUACUUACAAUCGGUACUUUUGAAGGCGCAUGAAGCACUUGCUGGAUACAAUUAUUCUUCUAUAGUUGGUGUAGAACACUCUAAUGUCAUAUUCUUCUCUGUUCUACAUAUAUUCUCCCAUCCUAACUCAAUAUUUUUGUUGCAUCAAUCAUGGUUGAUUUUUGUCAUUCUACAAAUCAGAGACAUAUCUUAAUUGAUUUUUGCAAAAUACAAUGACAAAAGCAAAGAUGAUUAACUUUCGUUGACUGAGCAUUUGAUGUGACAUAUGAAUCCUAGACAAGAACACAUGAAAAAAAUUGGUGGUUCAUAAGAGUAUUAUCAUUUAUGAUGUAUGCAGACAUCCCAAGCAAGAUUUGUAAUGACUUAUUCCAAAGUCAAGAAGCCAUCUAACCUUACCAUUUAUAUCAUUAUUUUAAAAAAAUCUAUUUUUGAAAAGAAAAUAAGAAGAAAAAUUGCAGUAGUUUGAUUUUGGAAACUGAGGUGGAGUAGAAAAUACAAAUAACAUGUUUGGCACACUUUAGUUCAAAAUUGUUAAAAUGUUCUGCUCUUUGCAUUCAAGUUAGUUUUUUUUUGGUUACAUAGUUGUUGCAUUCAAGUUAGUUUAAGAAAACAAUAGAGUUCUAUACUAUUACAUAUGUCAUUAAUGAAAACUACCUAAUGUGAAUUUUUUCAAAUCCAAAUUUAAAUUGCAAAAAGAGAAAACUAAAACUAAAAAAACAUGUUUUUCUAAAAAGGGAUUUGUGAUUGAAACAUAAAUCGGUCCAAAAAUCAAAUCAAGCAAUAAAUAAAUCUAACUCCUAGGUAAAUUAUACGAUGAAAUUUGAAUAUCAAAAUAAAAAAUAUUAGGGCUUCAUGAAAAUUAGGACUUUCAGCAGCAUUUGUAGAACAAUGGAUACUUACACAUAAAAUUGUACAGGAGAAGGAGAGCAUGAAUGAUAUGUUUCUCCAUUGUUGAAACUAGGCUGGAGUUUUCUUGGAAACUCUGACUUUAAUAAGCUUGCUUUCGGCAUUGGUGUGCAGCCCCAUUUGUGUUGCGGUUUUCUCUAUUCCAUUCCAAAGUCGAACAAAUUCCAUGCCUUAGCAAUAUUCAUAUUAUGUUCUCAAGUUGACAACUGAGAAAAUCAACAAAUAGAGCCAAAAUGAUUCAAAACAUAUUUGAAGAAAAGAAAAACAAAUAUAUAAUUGUACAUAACACACAGUAAGAGGAAACCACUCAUAUAAAAGGCAACCACAAAUCAAAGAAAGGCGUGCAAAAUGAUCUAGAUAAAGAAAUGUGAAAAAAGUUUGGAUUACCUUUUUUGCUCAAUUGAUGAAACGAGGUUGAAUUGCAUGAAAACUCCGUCAAAAGAGAUAACCACUUUUCAAUCUGAUUUGUUAUUGUUGAACUUUAAUUUGUUUUUGAAAUUCAACUUAAACCUACUUCAUUCGAUUCGAUGCUCGAUCGGAAUUUAAUCAUACCGUUUCAUAAUUACAUACCACGAAUCACUAUACUAUUGCUUUUAUAAAUCAUUUUUCUGAAUAAGAAUAUUUGACUUAGUACUUACAUAAAAAUGAAUUAAAAAAUAAUAAACAAAAUAAACUAUAUGUGUCGUCUUUACUCAAAAAGUUUGUGAAUUCGCAGUAAAAAAAUUUGAAUAGUUUUUUUUUCAAUAAUUUGAUAUGUAAUAUUGAUGGCAAUUUUCGCAAGUGUACGAAAUCGUGCAAGUAGUAAUUAAAACGGUAAGACCGAGUAUCGAACUCGAGGAUUGCGGUUUACUGUUGAAUAGGAUUUAUAACUUAAUUGAACAAAAGGUUACGAGAUUUGUUUAAUCGCAAUAAUGAAAGUUACGUAAAGUAAAUUGAUUCAAACUUAAUGAGAGAAGAGCGUUGGGGAUGAGUUUCACCUGAUUAUUGCCUAAACCUAUUAACUUGAUUAUCACAAUUGAAUCAACUUAUUUAAUUGUUACUGAAUUCUCUAUAAUAUUCGUGUCCUAAUUCCUUAGUGACAGAACCUUUAAUCCUAAAAUAAAAACCUAAUUCCUUAGUGAAUUUGAAGAUUAGAAUUAAGCAUGAACAACAAGAAUUCUCAACCGGUUCCAAGGGUUUGCACCUAUUCCUAGAUUGCAAAGGCAAGGAUCUCUUAUCUCAAGCGUUUAUAAAUUCCACUUUCGUUUCACAAUAUAAACCGUAAAUCAAUUUAAAGGUGAUCAAUCAAUAAAAGUAUUAAGCAUGGAGAUAAUUAAAACAAUUCAAUAAGUUUCAUCAAUAAUUAUGAUCAAAUCACAUGGCAAAGGUACUCAUCUAGGUUUACUCAUACCCAAUAAUGGAGGGUUUAGUUACACAUAGUGAUUAAGCAAGAGAAAGGGAUAAAAGAGAUAUUACAAGAACAAUUCAUGAAUGAUUCUUGAUAAAUCUCCUCCAAUGGUGCUCUAGAUCACUUCUGUUGUGUUUUCUAUGCUUUUCUUCUCCCAAAAAUGUGAACCCUUAAUUCAGAAACGCACUUUUCUAUAAAUAGGCAACUUAAAAUCGGCCACCGAGUCUCAAAAUCGGGGCCCGAAAUCAGAAAAACGCGCCCAGCAGAUCAUGAAAUCGGCGCCCGAUUUUUCCAGUGAUGCAGCCAUUCCAGUGUCUUGAGAACCUAUUCCAGUGGCUUGAAAUCUUCGUUUUUGAGUGCUUUCAGCUUGAAGAUCUUGAUGAAUUACCUUAAAAAUAUAUGAAAAAGUGUCUACAAAACUAGUAAUGACAUAGUGUCAUCACAACCCCAAACUUGCAUUGUUACUUGUCCUCAAGGAACCAACUUAAAAUGAAAAAAUAACAGUAGAGUAACACUUACCCCACCAACGAUCAUGUCAAAAGUUCAUCUCCCUUGUUAACAAAUGAUGAGCUAACUUGCUUGGUAACACAUCUAUUCCACAACUUCUCGCAACAAUAUUGAAUAUAACAGGGUUCACUCAGUCGACAUGUAGAACUACUAUAUUACCAAAACUUGAAAAAUUUCUAAGCAUCAAUCAAAGUCAAUAUUAUGUACACACUUUUAAGGACUUUUCAGGUUAUAACGGGGCUUAGGUUAGGGGUGGGAUAAUUUGGAAAGUAGGUUUCAGAAAAACAACGGAGUUAGACAUCAUCCCACGGAUCUAAAAUACACCACGCACCAUAACACCAUAUCACAAUUGAAUCCGGGGACUAGAGAGAACUAUUAAUGACUUGAAUAACUGAUCACUUGUCUUGAAGCAUUUUUUUUUUUUUUUGAGCUGCAAAUUUGACAAUUCAACUUAUUUUUAUCAUGCUUAUUUUUUUAUUUUUAUUUUUAGCACAAAGUGAUCUCUUUAUUAUUUUCUUCUUUCUCUAGUACCCCUACCCCAAACUUAGAAUGUUGCUAGUUCCAAAAGCAACCCCAAACUUGAACUUUUCAAUCAUAACACACAAAAACAUGCCUAACUCCAACAAAAUUUUGGGUACAUUCCUAAGGUCUCUAGGCUUGUAAUGUGGUUAGUCACCGAAACAAAAGGGUCUAAAUCCUAGUGGCUCAACUUGGUUUAAACAAAGGAUAAUUCAAUAUAAACAAAGGUGGGCUACAAAGGCUCAAGGUACAAGCAAUUUGCCUUAGUGUGUACAACAUAUGACUAAUCAAUUACAAAGAAAAAUCGCAAAUCUCAGAAAUAGCACCUACAUGGAAACACUCAUAUUUGUAAAAAUUGAAAAAUAAAUUUAGGCCAUAACCUUACAAGCUGAGGUUUCUGGAAGUUGUGGCUACCUAAACAUCUUUCCUGUCGUACGCUUCCCGCAUAAAAUCAUGCAAGCACUACCUCCUUUGAACUUUUGACAAACCAUUGAUGAAGUCUUUGUUGCUGAAUUGGUGAAUUUCAAGAAAAGUAAAUUCAUUAAUAAUAAACAAGUUCAGAUGCAUUACAAAAUAGGGGAAUCAUCAAAUCACAAACCAGACACUUCUCAAGUGAACUCCAUACAAAAGUUCAUACUAACGAAAAUAACUAAAACAAAUAACAUAAGCAAAUACUAAAAGUAAUAUAAAUAGUAAAUAUCUAGGCUAGACAAGGUGCCCAAAUCACUGUUGUGCUUCUGACGACCCUCCUGGUCCUGAAGGUGGAAACAGAUAGUACAUAGGCUGUGUGUCUGCAUCAGGAUGCCUCUCGGCUUGAAUCCUAUAGUACUCCGCCCUAAUACGCUCCUCUGCUCUAGCUCCCCUCUGCCUCUCCUCUGCAAAGUAGUUCUCCAUCUCAAGUGGGCUAGCAAACCUGUCAUAAGCAUUAGUCCUUGCAACAGAACUCUGACGGUAAAGCUCAGCUGCCUCAUAGAAAGGUUGCGGGAGUGCUGGUGGUGGCAUCCGAUCCCUAGAAUAAAUGUCUUGGGCCCAGUUUGCCAUGGCAUAUGUGUACUCCACGAAAUAGGGUGGAAGACCCUGUUGCUGCACCUGUGGUAGCGGCACCUGCUGUGUAGGCACCUGUGGGACGUGAUCUUGCUCCAUCGCCUGGUGCUCUUCUGCUGCCCUAAGCUUCCUGUCAUAAUUUUCCUGUUCUUUCUCAAAACCUUCUAAAACAGAGUCUGAUAAAAACCUCAAAGACCUCACAUACACAUCAGUAGGUUCAACUGGAACCUGAGCUGCCUGGCACAAUUUGUUAAUAACAGCAAUGUCCCAGAGUAUUCUUAUCAGUACCAAUUAGCUUCCACAAACUAUCAGUCAUCAGCCCGGCCACAUCUAUAUCCUUAUCAGCUAUCAUUGCCAGCAAAAUAAUCACUCGGUCUCUGAUCAUCUCAGAUGACGACGAAGUUUGCUCAAUAACAGUCAAAAUAAAUGAAGCCCAUGCCUUAUACUCUGGCAGCAAAUCGAUAGUGUUAAUCCUCUGAGGUCUAUCCACAGGUCCUAUCCACCCCUUCCCAUCUCUCAUAAGUCCCUCAAGAAAUCCAUCCCACUCAUUUCGACUUCUGAAAGUAUCAUAUACCUGCUUCCGAUAAGCAACAUCACAAGUCUCUACAUCCCUCAACCCCAGCACUCACUUAAUAUCCCUCUUCUGAUAACCAACCCUCUUCCCUCGCACAUAAGUGUAACCAUUUUUGAAAUUCUGGCACGUUCGACUUACAAUGUUUUAUGCGAUGUUCCAACACCAAUUAUGCAGACACAGAUGUUGAACAAUAUGAUCAAAACAUUAAGCUAACAACAGACAGUUAAAAACACAAAAUGCAAAGAAAAGAAAGAAGGCAAAGAGAGUUGUUAACCCAGUUCGGUGCAAUGUCACCUACUCUGGGGGCUACCAAGCCAGGAAGAAAAUCCACUAGUGUAGUCCUUAUUCAAUAGCUCUCAGCAAACUCCUCGUUUGCAAUAUAUGACCUAGGACCUACCCGUACUGACUUCAACCUAGGAACUCCUAGAUCUGAGAUCUCAUCUCACUCCCUUACAACCAAUCACAGCCCCUGUGAUUAUCAGGUUACAAACUCAAAACAACAAGUACGAAGUUACCUUCAAACACGAUCUACCUAUCUCCUUGCUUAAAAGCUUCGGAGUAGUGCACAUGAGUUUACAACUCAACAAACAGUCCUUAGCAUUUAUCAAUAUGAUACAAGAAAGACUCACAAUAAAACAGAACUAAACUUGCAUCAACAUGAUACAAGAGUAGAGAACUCACAAAGACUUAAAACCCUAAAAGCUCUAAACUUGAGAUGACGGCUUGAAUACUUCUUCAAGUCUUGCAGCCUUCUAUAUAUACUAGAGCAAUGCGGGUCAUAAACUUACUUGGGCUCCAUAUCAAAUCGGUGAUCCAUUUCUCAGUCAAAGGACCGGAUAAGGAAACUUCCUAAAAGAUAGGCACAUCUUUAGGAACAUUAUGAUCACCCUUAAAGACUUUCCUAAGUCGUUUGCACUUCCUCAGGAAAUCACAGUUGUUCUGAUCUUUAUCAUAAACACGCAGGUUUGACCAAUCACAAUGAUGGUGUGGAUUCCUUAAAACAAGGGAACGCGUGCGUAAAAGUAGGCAAGGCACAGAACAAACAAACCCAGCCUUGAUGUUGGAACAUUGUGUUCCACAUCUGAAGUGAAUAUUUGUUUUAGGCAAAAGUGAAGCCAACAUACAAAUAUCCAUCAAUCUCCCCCUUUGGCAAAUUUUUGGCUAAAACAACUUCAGGCCAAUCCAAUCAAACCAGAGAGAUAUUCACACACACAACCUUUUCUUCAAUCCUCACAAAAUAAACAACCAUGAAGAAAAGUACACAUACUCAGAUUUCCAAGUAGUACCAAAAGAUAUAAGUCUUCAGUCACAUCAUAAUCUUCAGGGUCUCAGAAUCUACUUUCAAAAUUUUUCACAAAUAAUCAACAUAUGAAAUAGUAGAUAAGAGAAAUAGGUACCAAACAUGAAAAACAGAGACUUGCAGCAGCGGACAUACAAGGGAAAAAUAAAUUCCCAUAAACACAUUGUAAUAUCUCGCUGAAUUUGUAAUAAACUGUCGAAUUAGUUGAGCAUGUCAGAACGGAAAUAAUUUCUAAAGGGUUAAAUAUUUAUUGAGAAAAGCGAAGAUAUUCGGUAAAUAUCUCGCAUAUCAUUCCAACGGACUUAAGGAAUUAAAGGGUUACAAAUUAACAAAGGAUAAUUGUGUCUUUUCCCUUGAAGGGCAAAAUGGUAAACUUGCUAAUCAAGAUUUUUUUUUAAGUGGACCAAGGCUAAUUCUUCUCUCACUUUCCAUAUUCUUCUUCUUGAUUCUAGAACAUUUUCUUCUCCCUUCUCCCUCUAAGAAUUCGGUUCCCUCCCUAUACUAUCUUAACCACCAAAACUUCAUCAAAUUACCAUGCAUUCACUACAUGAAUGGUACACAUAAGUUUCUAGAGGUGGUUUAAGCAAGAAAAACACUUCAAAACUUUUCACUCCCUUCUUAAUUCCUCAAAACCGCCCCCUCCUUCAACUUUCCAAUUCUUCAUUUCUCUUUCAAAUUUCAUGGGAAACCACAUAUAAGCUUGCUCUAGGGGACUCAAGAGUGGUAUGAUUACAAGGUAAGUGACAAAAAUCCAUUUUCUCUCUCUUUCCCUUAUGAACCGCACCAUACACACACCAUGUGUAUAAACCCCUUUUCAUGGAAAUUUAUUUAAUUCAAACUUUGGUGUAUGUUGUAUAUGUAAUUUGAAAAUGAUUAUGUGUGGUAAUGGUAUUUAGAAACAUGGUAUGAAGAAUGAUAGAAAGUUAGAAGCAAUGGUGUGUGAAUUUAGGACUUGAGAGUGCGUAAAUUGUUCUAAUAAGCCAUUAUAAGUGAUCACUGAGUAUAGCACGUUGGAAUCUCGUAUAUUUGGUAUAGAAGGUGUGUAAACACGUUUGUAUUGUUUCUGGAAAAUUUGAGCAGAAAUUGAAUUGUUUAGAGGGCAUAAAUUGUCAGUUAAGCUGUUUUGAGAAAAAUGCCUUAAAAGACUAAGUUGUGAAUUUAAACUGCUGUAUAAGUGGAUCAUAGGGCUUACUAUACAUUUUGGAACAUCUGUGUUAAAGUUUGGGUCGAAUUUGAUAUGAAAAAAAUAAAUAAAAAAAUCAUAAGUUGCUAGUUAAACCCUUUGUAUAAUAGCUUAAGUCGGAAUUUAAGUUGUGUCAGGUAUUAUCUUGUGAUGAACAGUUUAGGAGGGAUAUGUUGAAUUGGUAUAUGAGCAAUGGAAAAAGAAUAAGCUGUUCUAAUCAUGGUAAAAGAGCUUAAAUGGUAAUUAAGCUGUUUUGGAGGUGCUUAAAUAGCCAAACGACAAACUUCGGGUGCAGGGACUGGAAUGAAUUUUUUUUGUAUAUGCUGGUUGAUGAAGUAAGAGUAUGUCACAAAUGAGUUGAGUUGUUUCGGAAAGAGCAAGACCUAUAAGCCAAGACAUAUGCUAUUUUGGAAAAUGGACUAUGGAGUUUUGGAGCUAGCAAAAGCUGCAAAUUGUGGAUAAGCUGCUUGUAAUUUCGGGACUAAUGCCAAGGUGAGUUCCUUUAGCUUAGAACCCACCUUUGGGAAUGGAUUAUGAUUAUGUUAGAUUAAUGAGAUAACAUGAAUAAUUAGACCAUUUUUAUGAUUUCUUGUCUUUUGUGCAAGCAUGACUACUAUGCCAUAUGAAUGAUACAUUUGAAACAGAAUAGAUAUGAGAUAGUAGAAUGAUUAUUUCUGAACUAGGUACAAUUAUUAGUUAUUCUAAAAUCUCUUUUAUGUUAAUAAGUAUGUUUAUGUUAGCAUAAUUGUUGGAGGGAAAUUUUAUCAAGACAAUUGAUAUGUAUAAUUAUGGUAAUGAUUUGAAAUACAGUCUAUGAGUAAUAUGCUCACAGUGAAUUAUAGAAAAUCACAGAAAAAUGGAAAUGAGUAGAAAAACUUGAAAUGAGUAACAUGAUCAUAGAAAAAGAAAGAAAGAAAGAAAGAAAUAAUAAAUUUGAUAAAAACUCCGUUUGCUACAACGAAGAGAUAAUGUAGCCUAUGAGGAACGGCUCAUAGUAACAAAUGUGAAACUCCGUUUGCUACAACGAAGAGAUAAUGUAGCCUAUGAGGUACGGCUGAUAGUAACAAUAAUGAAAUAGUUACCGUUCACCAUAACGAAGAAAUAAUAUGAUAUAUACGCAUAUAAUGAAAUGUAUAACUAAUGAUACUCAUAUUAACAUGAAAAUUAUGUUUAGUAUGAAUUAGCUACGAAGCAAUAUCUUAUGGGCAUUUUGCCAAUCAUUGGAAAUGAUGAAUUUUAGUUACGGAACUCCGGCUCAGUUAGCCGAAACUAGUUAAUAUAAAAAAAAAAAGAAUCAGAGACAUACUCAAAUAAGUAUGUCAAAGUAUAAGCUAUACUAGAAUACGAUAUAUUGGAUUUAUGUUUAUGAUUAUUAUUAUGAUUAUGGUGAUUAUGUUUAUGAUUAAAGUUAUGAGUAUGACUGUAUUUAUUAUUUAAUCAAUGUAGUAUUUCAGACAGUGAUUCUAGUUAUCCCAUUAUCGCGCUCAGUUUUGCAUAAUAAAAUUGUAUAAACCCAAAAUAGGUUGAGUUUAGUAACAGAUGGCGAUCCUAGGUUCCCCGAGGUUGCCUAUAGCCUAGGAUAGGUGGAACUCACUGAGACAUCUUGUCUCACCCCAAUCCCUUUUAUUUAUUUCAGAUAUACAAGUUAUUAUACGACAAGAUGGUUCGUGAUGAAGAAGAAGUAGCUUGACCAUAUAGAGUACACGUCAGUGGAACUAUUUCGGAGGUAACAGGCAAGAAAUUCUAUGAUUUGUUCAGAGAAUAUCUAUUUAUUGUAAUUUUAAUGUAUCCGACGCCAAGUUUAACACAAAUGCUAGAUAUCCUAGGUGAUUUCUAGUAGGGGUGUUUCACACAUGCAGAUGCUACUCGAUGUUUUAACCUUCCAUCAAACAUUCACACAUACUGGAAAAAAUAAAUUUCCAUAUACAAAGCAACUGCAGAACACACACUGUCUUCACAGAAUCACUCCUCCUCAAAGAUAUAACCAUUGAGUGAUUACUGCACAAACACUCCCCCCUGAACUUAUGCAUAUAUACACAAACCUUCAAAGCAGACAUAUGUUGAAGCUUCUAUUGGCACAUUAUGAGAACAGGCAUGCAUACAUAAAAGCAGUAAUAGCUCAAAAACGCAGACAAUCAUCAUAUAGAUGUGUUCCAACAUCUCCUGACACAUUGUGUCUGCUUAAACUUAUUCAGGUAAACACACAAGCACGUAGGCACGUGCACAUAAAACCAUACUGGCAUUCUUCUUUUACUCCCCCUUUUUAGCCAGAAAAUGUGCCAAAAUAGGAACCAAAACAGCUAUAGCUCCUCAUGUAGACAGAUACCCAGCUUGCUCCAUAAUACCUCAAAUUGUUUGACAUCCAAAGUUUUUGUAAAAAUGUCAGCCAAUUGUUCUUCAGUAGUGACAUGCUCCAAAGUUACUACCUUAUCUUCAACAAGAUUCUUAAUGAAGUGAUGCCGGAUAUCAAUAUGCUUCGUUCUGCUGUGUUGAAUGGGAUUCUUGGAGAUGUUGAUUGCACUUAAGUUAUCACAGUACAAUGUUAGAACACUUUGUGAAACAUCAUACUCUUCCAGCAUUUGCUUCAUCCAGACUAACUGAAAGCAGCUACUUCCUGCAGCAAUAUAUUCUAGAUACUAGAUUGUUGAUAGGGACACAGAGUUUUGUUUCUUGCUGAACCAAGAUACUAGAUUGUUUCCAAGAAAGAAACAGCCUCCUGAAGUACUCUUUCUGUCAUAUGCACUACCUGCCCAAUCUGCAUCACAAUAGCCAAUCAAUUUGGAAUUGUCACUGUGAGAGUAUAGAAUUCCAUAGUCUGUGGUGCCGUUUAUGUACUUUAGAAUCCUUUUUACUUGUACCAGAUGACUCAUUUUGGGCUCUGUUUGAUAUCUUGCACACACUCCUAGAGCAAAAGUUUUGUCAGGUCUGCUUGCUGUAAGAUAUAGAAGACUUCCAAUCAUACUUCUGUACAGGCUUUGAUCAACAACUACACCAUUUUCAUCUUUGGACAACUUUAAGUGAGUUGCUGCUGGUGUUCUCUUAUGACUAGCAUUAUCCAGACCAAAGCCUAACUUUAUCCUUCUUUGAUUUUGUAUGGUGAGAUCCGAGUAUAAUCACUGUUUUUUUUUUUUUUUUUGUGAGAAUUAUUUUUUUUUAACCAUGUCAGCAGAAAAAAAAAUUAAUUUCGAUUUUUUAUUUGUAUUUAAAUAAUUUUUUUUUAUCUCAUUUCGUCGAAAUCAAAGAAUUGUUUGGGCUUUUGGCCCAAUGCAAAUUGGAUCGCUCCAAACCCAAUUUAACCGCACACCACACAGAUCCGAUCCGAUAUAGCGCGCAAAUUGUUUGAUUGAAUUUUUUAGCGGUAUUAUACAUUUUAUUUUUCAACAAUUCUACUCAUUCCUCACUGUACAUUACUCUCACACACUCCAAUCAUCAACAACAACACUCUCAGAAGAAGAUGGCGAAUAACGAUGAGGUAGGUUUUCUUUUGUCUCUGGUUCGAUUGUCUGUUUUUGAUCUAAUUCACAAAAACAGACAAUGAUCUAAUUCACAAAAACAGACAAUCGAACCAGAGACAAAAGAAAACCCUACCUCAUCGUUAUUUGCCAUUCUUCUGAGAGUGUUGUUGAUGAUUGGAGUGUGUGAGAGUAAUGUACAGUGAGGAAUGAGUAGAAUUGUUGAAAAAUAAAAUGUAUAAUACCGCUAAAAAAUUCAAACAAUUUGCGCGCUAUAUCGGAUCGAAUUUGUGUGGUGUGCGGUUAGAUUGGGCUUGGAGCGAUCCAAUUUGCAUUGGGCCAAAAGCCCAAACAAUUGUUUGAUUUCGUCCGACGAAAUGAGAUAAAAAAAAUUAUUUAAAUACAAAUAAAAAAUUGAAAUUAAUUUUUUUUUUUCUAGUGACAUGGUUAAAAAAAAUAAUUCUCACAAAAAAAAAAAAAAAAAAAAAAGUGAUUAUUAUCGGAUCUAUGAAAACGGAGAAGGGAAAUUCCAUCAUGGUUGUUGAAUUUGUGAGUUGAGGUUUGGAAUGGAUGAUAGAUCGAUGAAGAGGGAGAAGAAGGGAGGAUUCUAUCAUGGUUAUUAGAUUUGUGACGUUAGGCUGGAAAUGGAUGAAAGUUUUGUGAAGAGGGAGAAAGGAAGAUUGUAUCACGGUUGUUGUUGGAUUUGUGAAUGGGAAGAAGAGAGAAACACAAAGAGGAGAGCGCAUAUAAUAAGACAUGAAGUAUGAAAACUGCUGUGAAUGAAAGGUAUUUAAAAGCAACGCAGCCGCACCAACACAAACUAGGGUUACAUACAAGGCAAUAAAAACCGGACCGGACCGUCCGGUUCAACCGUGAACCGAACAUAGGUCCGGUCCGGAAUAGCAGGAAAACCGCUUUGUUUAAGAAUCGGUAGAUGAACCGGAAAACCGGUGAAACCGGAUAAAACCGGCGGUUCACGAGGUUUUAUGGGUUGGACCGUGUUUGACCUAUUUUCUUCACACAAAAUCAAAAACAAGAUGAAAACCAUUGCCUAAAUCUCAGUUCUCUUUUACGUUUCUUUUCACACAACACAAAGAAACCCUCAUUCACAGUAUUCACUAUUAAUUAAAGAAAGAUUGCAAGGAGAUGAAGAGAAAAUUGAACAAUCAUUUGGUUCAAGAAGAAGAUGCACAUAUUCAGACGAGAGAAGGUGAAGAACAGUAGAUUAAAAAUAGAAGGAAAAAAGAAAAAUGAAAGAUGAACUAAUAGAGAGGAAGCUGUGGCGGCUGUUUGUUAAACAGUCUGAUUAACCCUAAUCCUGCCUUUUUUGAGAGGUUUAAAAAAUCUUCAUGAAAAAAAAGCUCUGAAGGGGUUUGAACCCGCGACCAUCUGCAUACAUCCAACAGAUUUUGCCACUUCACCCGUAACUGUUUUAUUGACUUAUUUUGCUUCCACUAACUGAUAUCCAAUACCAAGCCCCCCUUUUUAAAACCCCAAUUAAUCCCAUUUCCUCUCUUUCCAGAAUUGAACGCUACACGGUUCUGAAAGGUUUUUCACCUCAUUUCUGCGAUCUGACUGAACCCACAAGGCUGCCAUGUACGUCCCUUUCUUCCCCAUUAUCCUUCGAUUUCUGCUCAAAGGUGUGAUUGUUAUGGAGAUUUCGUCCAUGGUAUGUUCACUAAACUAAUUUUCACAUUAAUGCUAUUUUAUUCAUUUUGAUUUUGUGGAUUUUGAUUGCCUCAGUUUUCAUGAUAAAGGGGAAUGCUUGAAAUCCUAUUAUGAUUUAUGAUUGUAAUCAUUAUAUUCAUUGUGAUUGUGUCAAUUACCUUGCUUCCCAAUGCUUCAAAUUAGGGUUUCAAUAUUUGGGGAUUAGAUGUUUCAAAUUUGUUCUUAUGCUUUGUUGUUGUUUAUGUUUAUUAUUUUGCUUUAAUUUUCUUUAUCGUUAUUCAAGUCUCUGUUUCAAAUUUUGAAUAUGCUUCUCAAAUUUUGAAACCUUGGUGUAAAGACACAAGAUAAACUAUAUUUUGUUUGUCAAAUUUUGAAAUAGAUUUGUAGAAAGUAAAAUUCUAUGUUAUUUCUAUUGUUCGUCAAUCCUUGAAUUUUGAAAUUUAGAGUCUUCACGUUAAAAAGAGGGUGAAUUAGGCCUUAAAAAUAGGAAAAAUUUCCAGCUGAAAUUAUUAUUAUUAUUAUUAUUUCCUUAAAUCCUAGGCAUCCAUUUCUUCCUCAUUUUGCAUCGAUUCUCUGCUCAAAGAUGUGAUUGUUAUGCAGAUUUCCUCCAUAAUAACUUAUUAAUGGUAUGAUCUCAUAUUAAGGAUUCUAUUAAUUCAAUGAUUUUUUUCUAUUGUUUGUCAAACCUUGAUUUUUUUUUUUUUAAAUUGGGGAUUUUAUUGUUUUACCUAUUGUUUGUCAAUCCUUGAAUUUUCAGAUUUAGAUUUUCCACGUUUUCUGAUAUAGGAUGAGAUUUUUGUGUUGAAAUUGUGAUUAUAUUGUAUAUAUAUUGAAUCUGUUUGGAAUAGAAUGUUUUUUUUCCCAAUAUAAAUAAAAUUUCCUUCUUAUUGAAAGAAUACCCUCAUAUUUUCUGCCUCAUUUAAAGAUCUUUUGAGUUUGCAUUUAUUUCCUAUUAUUAUUAUUUAGGGUGAUUUAGGCCUUAAAAAUAGGGAAAAUUUCCCUAUUAUUAUUGUUAUUAUUAAGAUUAUUUCCUUGAAUCGUGCUUAGUAGUUUUUCUCCAGCUUGAACACACGUGUGCAAAUGUUGUUACUUGAAAGUCCAUGAAAAUAGACACUCCAACCAUGAAUAGUGUGUAGUGGGCUUUGAUAAAUCCUUCAAAAUGUAAUCCUGAACAAGAACACGUACAGAUGUUGUUGCUUAAGAAUCCUUGAAAAUAGCCACUCCAACCAUGACCAAUGUGUAGUGGGGUUUGAUAAUUCCUUGAAAAUAGCCACCACUACAAGUCAUUGGUCGUUCCUCAUGAGAAACCAGUAACUUUCUAAUUCUCUUCUCUUCCUAUAAAUAGACACUUUCCUCAAGUUCUUAUUCACAGUAUAUUCUCCCCUCUCUAUUAGAAACAAAUAUCAGGCAAAGUAUGUUGUAGUAUUUUACAAAAAUAAUAUACUUACAUUUAUGUUUCAGAUUAUUUACUGUAUGCAAUGUUACUAAUGUGUAUCACAUCAAUUGUAGGAUGUCAAUGAUGCAAGUUACUGCAAUCUCUGACAUUGUGUGUGGAAACACGAGCAUCAAAAUUAUAUGCUAGUCACCAUAUCUUUAAUUAUAUUCCAUCUUGUAUCUCUUCUAUUUUGAUGAAUGAAAUAAUAUAACUUUAUUACUGUCAAAAAAAAUCAUGAACCUCGUUUAUACAACCUUUGUUUAUUUUUUUUGCUUAAAUACAGUUUUACCCCCUAUUUUGAUUGAAUUUGAAUUUUACACCUCUUAUUUUGAAACUCAGAAUUUUACCCCUUAUUUUAAUUGAAUCUGGAUUUUGUCCCCCCUAUUUUAUGUUUUUCAGGAUUUUCACCCCCACCCAUCACAUUUGAGUUCAUUUUGGCUAAUAUGGUGGUGUUUGACUUGGUUUAAAUUAUAUUAAACAAAUAUCUAUCUAAUCAACUAUUUAUAUAAAAUGUACUUAUUUUUACUUUUUAUUUUUUUAAUGAAAAAAAUUUGUAUAAUUUUUUUCUUUAGAAAAAACAAAAAAGAUACUAGAAAAAAUGUAGGAUAAACAAAAGAAAAUGUAAGACUAUGAUUUUUUUUAAAAAUAAAUAAGAAUAUAAAGAACCAGAAAAAUAAAGAAACAAUAAAAAAAUAUUAAUUCAGUAAAAAAAUAAAAAGAAAACGCAAAAAAUAGCAAACAAUAAAAAUAAGAGAAAAAAUUCAAUUAAAAAUACGUGAAAAAACUAAUUUGUACCUCUAAAUAUUUUCUAUUUUCAUACAAGUUUUAUACAUUUUUUUUAUGAUUUGUUUAAGUAUUUUUCCAGUUUUUAUUUCGAUUUGUUUGAAAAAAAAAAUAUUCCAAAUAUUUUCAUAAAAAAAUAACAUUUAAUAUAAAUAAUUAAUUAUGUAGAUAAUUUCCUAAAAAAAUAUUUAAUAUGAAGAUAUUUAUAUAAUAUAAUUUAAGUCAAGUAAGCACUACCGCAUUAACUAAAAUAAACUCAAAUGUGGUGGGGGCAAAAUCUUUAUAAAAUUUAUGUUUACUAAUGAUUUGUAGUUUUGUACUAUCAAAUUUGGAACUUGAUGAUAGCUACCGGUUAAUGUGCAUAAUAUAAAUAUAUAUUAAAUUUUGGGAGCAUUUAAAAAAUUGCAUAAAAUUUAUUUGUGACAGAAUAUUUUAUAUUAUUCUGUCCCAAAAGAUAUUUUAAAAAAUAAAUUAGAUUUACAUUAAUUUCAUUUUGUCCCUAACUCCGACACAACAUUGGGACGGAAUAUAAGUAUUCUGUCACAACUUUGGGACGGAAACAAAGAUUUGUUAAAAAUAAAUAACUGCAUUCCAUCUCACAUUCCGUCUCAAAUAUGUGACGGACAAAAUAAUUCCGUCCCCAACUGAUUGCGACAUCACUAUUUGUGACGAAAGAAAAAUGUUGCAAAUUCCGUCCCAGAUUUUAAUUGUGACGGAUGUUUACACUAUUGUGCGACGGAAAAUUACGUCCCAAAUCAAUGUUUUUCUAGUAGUGAGGGGACAAAAUUCAAAUUCAAUCAAAUUAGAGGGGGUAAAAUUCUGAAUUUUAAAAUAGGAGGGAUAAAAUCCAAAUUCAAUCAAAAUAGGAGGGUAAAACCGCAUUUAAGCCAUACUUUUUUGGAUGUAAUUUGUUGCAUCAUAUGGUGAAUAUUAUCAUGAAUCAAUUUUAGACAACUUUGUUUUAGUUUUUUUGGAUGUAAGUAGUAACAUAAUAUCAUCAUGAUAUUAUGAACCUCUUUGUGGUGAAAGUUUAAUGAAUAAUAUUUUGAUAUUUAAGUAUGUUCAUGUUCAUGACUAUUUUCAUCUACAAAAUAAUAUGUUGAUAGCAAGUGAAGAGAAGAGGAAAUAAUUAUGUUUUUUAAUUAAACAAUAAGGGUAUUGUAAUAAUUUCAUAAUGUCAAAUAAUUUUUUUGGAAAAAACCAUUAAACUCCAGAUUAAUCGCCCACCAUAGGUGGGUCGGAAAGCGAUGUGAAAGCAAAAAAAAAAGAAAAAGAAUUUAAAAAAAAAAAAUGACGUGUAAGUGUCACGUCAGUGCCGUUAGAGGUCACUUAACAGCAGAGACUAAAAGCUAUGACCGAAAAUUUUGUAGAGACUAAGAAGUGUGAUUUGUUUUUAUAGAGAUUAAAAGCAAAACAAAUAUUUAUAGGGACCAAAAACUUAAUUAAUACUGCAAUUAAACAUGCGACUAUAAACAAUCGAGUAAAUAGACAAUUUCUCCCCUAAAAUUGUAAGUUUCGUCAAUUACCCCAUGAUAUUAACAAAACUUCAAUUACUCCUUCAAAUUGCAUAAUGUUAGUCAAUUUGUCCCCUCUGUCAAAAAAAUAUGAAGUUUUUUUUUCGAUUAUGAACAAAUACCCCUUGAUAUUUAGCACUUAUGUGUUAAAUUUCAAGAGGGUAAUUGCUCAUAACCAAAAAAAAAAAAAAAAAAACCAAUUUUAUUUACAAGGGGACAAAUUGACCAACUUUAUGUAAUUUGAUUGAGUAAUUAAAAUUUUGUUAAUGUCAGGGUAAUUGACUAAACUUAUAAUUUCAGGAGGAAAUUGUCUAUGAGAAUUGUUGUUCCCACAUUUGGUUGGACUAUGCCACACGAGUAAAUUACUCAAAUGCUCCUCGGCAGAUAACUGCCGAAUUAUGAAACCGGCUGCAGUUAACUGCCGAGGAAAACUUCGGCAGUAAACUCCCGAGGAAAACUGAAAACUUCGGCAGUUAACUGCCGAGGAAACCUCAAAUCUGUUUUUUUAUUUUAUUUUUUAUUCUUUGAGAAUAUUUCGCCGUCUUUAUCAUUUUUGAUUGAUUUUUCUUAAUAAUUCGUUUUUAAUUUUAAUGAUUUGGCUUCCUUAUUUAUUUUAAUUGUAUUACUCCUUUAAAUCUUUUUUUUUUGUUAUAACUGCUUUGAUCUUCAACAAUAGUGAAUAUUUUAUUUCCAAAGAAUUUCACGGAAUUUUCUUCUUUUAUUUCCUUUUUACGGAAAUAUUCACAAUUAUUUUAAUUGUAUUACUCAUUUGAUCUUCUUCUUUUUUUGCCUAUUUUAUUUCCAAAGAAUUCACGAAAUUUUCUUCUUUUAUUUCCUUUUUCUUUGUUUUAGGCUUAACAUUUAAGUCCUCAAAAAACAUUUCAAUAAGUGUAAAAAUUAAGUAUUUGAAUAUUGUUUUGCAAAUUAUUUAAAUAAAUAAAAAAAAUCUUUGUACACAAUUAUUUUAAUGUAGAAAAUAUGACAACAUAUUAUACCUUAAAAAAAUCUUGUGCACAAUUAUUUUAACGAUUUUUUUAUUGUUAUUUGUAUUUAAGUAAUGUGCAAAACAAUAUUCAAAUGCUUAAUUUUUACACUGAUUUAAAUGUUAUUCUUAUUAAGAUAUAUACACAUAAGUAUAAUACUACAAUUGUUUAAAACGUACCAAAAUAAUGAUUGAAACAUUCAAAAUCAAUAAAUAUUAUUAAAGAUAAUUUAUGGUUUUUGUCAAAAAAAAAAAAAAAGUUUGUUAUUAAUGACAAUUUAUGGAUUUUGUCAAAAAAAAAAAAAACAGGUUUUCUCGGCAGUUAACUGCCGAAGUUUUCCUCGGCAGUUAACUGCCGAGGGAUAUUUGAGUAAUUUACUCGUGUGGCACAGCCAAACCAAAAGUGGGAACAACAAUUCUCAUUGUCUAUUUACUUGUAAAUAAUACUACUAGCGAAGAAGAAAUCCUAAUUCAAUUCCCAAUCAUCACAGUCACAGUAUUGUAUUUUCAUCCAAACCAAGCUAAGCCGUCGUUCAUCGUCACAAACAGAAACAGGUGCGAUAAGCUACUUUACUUUAUCAAUUAUCUCUAUCUCUCUUAUACUCUCCAAGCGAUACUUAUUUAUGUUGUAAAAUCAAAAUCAUGUGAUUUUCAUCGUUUUUUUAAAUUUAGGGUUUUGGUUUCGAUUUGUAAUUAGGAAUUUACGAUGUGGAGGGGUAACUCAGUGCGGGUUUAUAAGUGUUAGCUGGUUUCGAUUUAUUUUUAGUCUGAGUUGGAAGAAAGUGGUUUCUAGGUAUAAUAUCCGGUAGCCCUCUGCUCUGCUCCUUUUAUGAGUGGGAGGCCCAUCCCGUCAUGUGCUGGUACCAGUAGAUCUGUUGAGGCUUCUUGCUCUCGGCCGCCCAUCUCUCUUCUCUCUUGCUGGGGGAGUGUUGAGGCGUUUUAGGCUUGGUUUUGGUGCUUUUUGAGUUGUCACUUGUCACUCUUCCACUCUCCGGAAUUAUAAGAAGAUCAAUUCAGUCUUUAGGUUCAUUGUGUAUUUGAUGUAUUAGUCUAUCUUCCGACUGUUUCUUAUACUAAGACUGGAGGGACAUCCUCACUCUCACAAUUAUUGUUUUUAACAUUUUUUUCUUUUUUCUCAAAAUAAUUUUCAUUUUACAAUACCAAAUGCAACAUUUAUUUUAUUUUUUUCCACUAUUAUACACUUAUUUAAUCCUUAUUUAAUGAAUUUCAUCCAACUUAACAACUACUCCACUAACUACAAUUAAUAAGGGUGUUUUAAUAAAUGUUACUAAUUUUAAGAAUCAUUUUUUUAAUAAUCGUGCACAACCCUUAAACGACUAAUAUCAUGAGACUGAGGGAGUAUAUGUUAUAUAUUUUAAUAACUGUGUUCGUUAUUGCUUGCAGUAGCAAUGAAGAGGUGUAAAAAGCUUAAGAGUGAGUCGCGUGCAAUGAAGAGGUGUAAAAAGCUUAAGAGUGAGUCGCCUGCAAUGAAGAGGUGUACAAAGCUCGAGAGUGAGUUGCCUGAUUGUAUUAUAUCUUAUAUCUUUUCCAAGUUUGGUUUGAAGGAUUUGGUGAAAACAAGCGCAUUGUCCAAACGAUGGAUUCACGAAUGGGGAUUAAGGACGGACCUCAACUUUGAUCUUCAUACCAUGUUUGACUAUAACACAAUUCAAGACUUACCAAACACACUUCCACUCUUUCAAAGAUUUCACUUUCAAUCUCAAUUUGCCACAAGAUUGGAUCAAUUUAUGCUCCAUUAUAAAGGUGCUAUCAUCCGUUCAAUCCGAGUAAAUUUUCCAUUAGGCAAUGAACAUAGGGAUGCCAUUGAUAGAUUGAUCUCCAAAGGAAUUGCUAAGGGUGUCAAACAUAUUGAACUUCUCUUGUCAUCUGAAACAAAUGAUACUAUUGAUUCUAUUCCGCCAUACAAAUUUCCCCUUACUCUCUUAUCUGACUUUGAUUCUCUGACGUAUAUGCACCUGCAAAACUGCUUCCUACUAGAACCUUUGGACUUCUCUGGAUUCAAAAAUUUGAGAACUCUUGUGUUGCAUCUAGUUGAUGUGAAUCAGAAACUGCUUCAGAGUCUGUGUUCCAAUUGCAGCCAUCUUGCAGACUUCACCCUUGAUGAUUGUCAGUUCACUUCUAACGUGAUAAUAAACAGUCCAACAUUGCUUCGUUUGAACAUCGUUAACUGUGGGGUUAAACGUGGGGAUAACGGUGAGGUUAAAAUUCCAGAGUAUAUAACUAUCAUAAUCAUUGCAUCAAAUCUCUCAUCCUUUGAAUAUUCUUGUCAUAAACUUUUUCUAGUACACCUGAUGAACAUUCAGGCUCCUAUGUUAUCCAAGUUUAGCUUUAGAGGAAUGGAAUUUUCUAAACCUGUUGGGUUUUCUGUAUUGAAAAACGUAACAAAAAUUACUUUGGAUCGACCACUAAUUUAAGAUCUAUCUACGCACAUCUUGCCUCGUUUGUUUUUCUGAAUGUCUCCAACUUGAAGAUGUCACCUUUAUGAACUGCGUGUUCAUAAGUUCAAUAAAAAUUACCAGUACAAAGUUGCGUCAUUUCAACAUAAUUGAUUGUGGUUGGGCGAAUAAAUCUCCUUCUGAGUUAGCUAUUGAUGCAUUGAAUCUCUCAUCCUUUGAAUAUAGUGCUCAUACCACGAGGAUAAUUUCUAUUAUGGCUCCAAGGUUAUUGAAGGUUUUCUGGAAUUGUGUUGUUAGAGAGGAAGCACCACACCUUUUUAUUAAUCCAAUUGCAAGAUUAUCACAUAUUGAGAAUUUAUCUAUGGCCGUCCACCCUUCACUGGUGAGUCACUCAAAACCCAUGUUUGCUAGUUGAUGUUUAUUGUUUGUAUAUAGGUUGCCAAUCUCGGAUAGCGGUUGGUCCCAAAAUUGAGAUAACGGCAUAGUGCAUUGCAACAUUUUCUAGGUUUCUUUUAAUUAAUUUGAUCACUAGUUGCUUUUAAUUCACUUUAAAUAUUACUGUUGUAAACAGAUAAAGGAAUUAACGAAGGUCUUGGUUCGAUUUCAAAGUCUUAGACAAUUGGAGUUUAUUAUCAUGGGAGAAUAUGAUCCUAGUUGGGACUACUUUUGGAUUUUAGAUAUUGCAAUGGCUUCUGAGCAUCUCCAAAAACUUUCUCUGACGGUGAGUUAUUCAAACUCUAAUUUCUUUUGUUGGUUGUUCACUUUUUUUAUUAACUUUAAUGGAACUAGAAGUUUAUUUUCCGUAUUUAAUACUAAUGUGUUUGUCUAAACGUAUCAAGAAAUUUAUAAAUUAAAAAAUUAUUUUAUAUUAAAAAAUAGAGACAGUUUUGCAUAUAGAUUCACAUCAUAUCAUAUGAUUUAUAAUCAUCUUGAUUGAUAACUUAAUAAAUGAUCAUUGUAAUUUUUUAUUUACUUAUAUUAAUUUUCGGAACUAAUUGUUAACUUUUUAUGUGUGUAAUAAAAGUAGGAAUCUAGUAAAAAAAAAUCUAUUUUUUUGGCCUAGUAGCUAAAGCUCACACAUUUUAAAUGUGGAGAAGUCGGGUGUUCGGAGUUCGAACCCCAGCCCCGCAUAUAAUAUGCAAUAUCCCUACAAACUGGGUUAAGCUCACGGGAAUAGGAAUCUAGAAUUUAACUCAAUUAGUAACUCCCUUGUAGUUAAUUACAAUGAUGUAAAAUAGAUUUGUACUUCCCCCUCUUUCAUAAAGUGAGUUGUUUAAGUCUUGAAUGUGUAACAUAUAAGUGGGAACAUAUUACAACUUCUUGAAAUCUGCACGAUUAAUUUCAACCCAAUUAUUUUUUGUAAAAAAAUCAAAUCUAAUAUUUCAUGGUUUAUGCUUUGUUCUGCAAAGAGGGGUAACCUUGGCGCAACUGGUAAAGUUGUUGUCAUGUGACUGGAAGGUCACGGGUUCAAGUCUUGGAAACAGUCUCUUGUGUAAAAAACAAGGUAAGGCUGCGUACAAUACACCAAAUGGUGGGACCCUUUCCCGGACCCUGCAUAUGCGGGAGCUAUAGUGCAUCGGGUUGCCCUUUUUAUGCUUUGUUCUGCAAAAAGUAAUAAAUAAUUGAUACGUUAGCUUACAGCUUAUAUGCUAUAUAUAAGCUAUAGACGCUACUUGAUGUAGCAUAUGAAAAAACACUAAUCUCAUGAAAAUGACUAGGUCAAUCCUAUUUAAAAUGACUAGGUCCCUGAUGUAGCAUAUUAAAUACAUUUUUGGUCUCCCUAUUUUGAAAAAAAAGAAGUUUUGGUCAUCCUAUUUAAAAAGACAGCUUUCUAGCCCCAAUUUUCAAUUUUUUGAGUUUUAGUCCCCAAGCUCAAUUUUGGCGAUGUGGCCUUAACACUAAUGAUAUGGCAGUGCCUGGGUGGACAUUUAAUUUCCAUGUCAUUACUAAUUUGUUUAAUUCAAUAAUACCUAUUUUAUACAAUAUUUUAAUUAUUGAAAUAGUAUAUUAAAUUAUAAUUAUUAACUUAGAUUUAGCAAUUAUAAAAUUAGAAAUUAUCCAAAAAAAUAAAAUAUAAAUGCAUAAUUCUUCAACCCACAAAUUGCAUGGAAAUGAUAGCAGAUAGCCGCAAGCGCAAUCGAAUGAAAGAAAAGAACACACGCUGAAUCAUUGCCCCAUUAAGGAUCUUUCUAUCCAUUUAAUUUUCAAGUUUUAGAUCUCUUGGAAUUUUGGGGUUUUAUUGAAGAGCUCUGUAAAAAAUUUAGGUGUGUUUUGAUUUGUACAUGUUUUUUUAGUACCAUUUUGUAUGUGUUGAAAUGAAUUUCAAAAGAUGCUACUGCUUCAUUUUAUACUUCAUAUUCUGGUUUUGAUUUGUCGGAAACUACGAAGAGGUUUAUGGUUUGUAAAGGGUGUGCAGACCUGAAGGGGAACUUGGGGUUUUUGAGUUGAAGAGGCAAGUGAAGCGUGAAAGUGAUGUGAGUGUAGAAGAGAGAAUGAUAUAGGAUGUGAUUUAAUAAAUAUUAUUUUGAUUUAUUAAAUCAGUUUUAACAAUUAAUUAUGCACUGGGUGGGUUUCUUCGUUUAAUAGUUUUUCAAGGGGUAAAAGUCACUUUGGUCCUUGAAUGUGCAAUGAUUGGUCAUAAUAGUCCCUCUGGACCAAAAUUCUAAAAUAGUUUCUGAUUGUGCACUCUUUUAGUUAGAAUUGUCCUUGACGCUAAACUAAUUUCUUAAUGCUUACAAUAACUCUUUCAGAGAGACUAAUAUGACAAUAUCAAUGAAACAUUUUAAAAUCGGGGACUAUUUGACUUCAGGGACUAGUUUGAUACUUUGAGAAACUGUUGUAACUAAUCGUUACACGAUCAGAGGCUAAAGUAACUAUUACUUUUCUUUUAAGGGGUUGCCAAGUUUUCUUUUCAUAAGGUGGUAAUAACGGUGGAGACGGUUUGAGUACAUGGAAUAGUAUGAUAUGCCUAAUGAGUGCAUAUCAUUAGUGUUAAGGCCACAUCGCCAAAAAUGAGUGCAUGCAGUAGGUCUACACGGUUUUGGAUUUUUAAAAACCGUGCCCGACAGUCUAACCCACAUGACCUGUGAACCUGCGGGUGGUUCAGCUAUUUCAAGUGGGGCGGGUUCAGAUUUUAUGCUCACCCCUAGUUUUAUAUGCCUAAUGGAAUUUUAAAAUUUUCAUAUAUGUAACAUUAUGAUCUAUUAUUUUUUGAGCAAUUCUAAAUGGUACGAAACAAAAAAGAAGAAAUGUUACAUGUCUUGAUUUUAAAAGAAGCGGAAAUUGGUUACUUUCUAAUUUGUAGGAAAUCAGGCUUUGGUCUACGUAAACUAAGUAGAAUAAAAACUAUUGUGCUUUUUGUGCAUUGAUUGUUUCCUAACAACAAGCAUUGCGCUUAUUUUUUAAUUUUCAGAUUCAAAAUCUACACCCGGAACAUUCACACAUGGUUGGAUUUAAGAGGCAAAAAAGAGAAUAUGCAUUUUUUCAUAAUGAUUUGAAAUAUGUGGAGUUUCGUGGUUGUGUUUGCUCCACAAACGUUAUUGAGUUAGCUAGUCACCUAUUGAGGAGUGCAAAUUCGCUUAGAAAAAUGACUUUCAAUUCUCGUGACAAAGUCUAUAUUGGAGCUGGUAGAUGGUUCAGAGAUACUACUGAUCGUGACAGAUACUAUAUAGAUGCUAGUAGAUGGAUUAAUUUCUGCGGUGGUGGUUGUUGGAUUGAAGAGAAUGUUAUUCACGAGAUGCUUAAAGAUGAAGUAAAUGAACAAUGCCACCUUAUAAUUUUGUAAUGUUAUUUUAUCUAUUUAUAAUGAGUUUUUACUAUUGUUAUUGGUGAUGAAUCCAUUCGUACUUUGUAUAAUUUACUUAUGAAUUUUUGGGUUUUUGGGAAAGAUUGAGUGGAUUUUUGGGUUUUUCGAGGAAACCAAGAGUGAUAGGUUCAUUUUCAUAUUCAUCAUCAGAAUCAUCAAAAUCAUUAUCAUUAUCAUCAUCUUCAUCUACAAAUUCAUCAUUUUCCAUUCGAAUUUCCUUGAGUUUGUUCACAAAAUCUCCAAUUGAUGCAUCAAUGUCCAUCUUUUUUGAGACGCAGGGAGAAGGAGAACGACGCGGCAGGAUUAGGGUUUAUAAGGUUUUGGGAUUAUCUCUUGCCCUCUGUCUACAGUAUCUUAACUAUUCUCACCCCUUAGAUUAAUUUAACGGUUCAAAGGGUGAAAUACAAACAAAAAAGUUGUGAAAGAGAGUGGUGAAAAAUUGAUAUCAGUUUAAAAUAAUUUAUCUAACUUAAAUAAUUUAUUUAUAAUUUUAUUCUUCUUUAUCCAAUCAUAUGACAGAAUUUUUUAAAAAAUAUUUAUUUCUAUCUAUUCUUCAAUAUAUAAAUGGAGAUAUCAAGUUUUAGUGUAACCUUUUUUUUAUUUAAUUUUGCCAUUCAUUAAAUUUUUUAUUUAUAAUUUUACCAUUCUUUGCCAAAUGAAAUAACUUGUUUUUUAAAUAAAUAAUCAUAAAUUAUUUAUAACUUGAAGGACAUGAACGACUAUUUUAUAACUUGAAAACAUGAACGCCAAUUUUAUAAUUUUAAAGAUAUGAACAACAAAAACAGACACAAUAUUUAUAACUUUGAGAUAUGAUCGAUAAUAACAGACACAAUAUUUAUAACUUUAAAGACAUGAUCGGGAAAGGCAGAUGGAUGUGCAAGUUUGCAUGCAAGUUUAACAAAAUCGUUAUACAAAGUGUGCCAUUUGAUAUUUGAUAUUUUUAUGACAACUAUAAGAGUUUGCCAAAGUAAGAAAAAUCCUCAAAGCUCGUAAGAUGCUUACAAAUUGUCUUACAUUUUCACUCUCACAACCUUGGCCGUCACGAGAUCCAACAAAUAGCUUCCAAGAGAGACAUGCUACAAUGCAGGGAAAUGGUCAAAAAUCAAGGUUUGGGGAAGCCAGGGGUGAGGCUCAUAAUUUAAUAAGGAAGUCUAAAAGGUGAUAAAAUAAUAAAAUCUUUUAACACUGCCUUGUUUGCCAAUCAAAUACCCCUUGCUAGGAGAAACCAAAAGAAGUCUUUCUCCAUUUCAAGUUUUUAUAUUUUGUUGAUAACCAAUGUAAGCUAAAGUUGCAGCACUCGCUGCUUAAUUUUUCAGUUGACCAAUAUGAGCAAGUAUGGUCUUGUUUGUAGAGUUCUGAACAUGUGUUAUAAGUAUAACUGGCGAGUUUUUUUUUCUUCUUCCUUUUCUACUGUAAUGUAUAUGCUGACGUUGACUAAGAAAACUUGGUUUUUUCUCUACCAGUUUGUGUCUUUCAAUGUACUUCGAUCAGUUGGUUUGAUUCAGACACUUUCGCCAAAUCAGUACUAGUAUGAAAAAUGAGGUAAAAAAGAAGAAUUACAUGAUUUGGAACUUCGAACUAACAGCCAAUGAGGUAAAAAUGAAGUACAUGAGUUGGAAGUUUGGAACUUCGAACUAACAGCCUUAUUGACUUGCGUAAAUAUUUUUAUUUUAUUUAUAUUUACAUGGAUUUAUGUAAGAAAUACAUUAAAUGGUUUAUUGUUUUUUUUUUAGGAUAAAAAAUAGUUUAUUGUUUAUCUUUUAAAAAAGUAAAAUAUUUAGUAGGUUCAUGAAUUUAAUUUAAUUUUUAUUUAAAAUUGCACACGUUAACAAACCCAAUUUUAAAAUAUGUUCCGUACGGUAAUCAAAAUAAAAAAUUUAUUUUUUUUAUUUAAAAAAUAAAGUUUUUUACGUAAGAAAUUGAGAGGGGGAAAUUGAAAGUUUACAGCCAUAGGUUCAUGAAUUUCAGCUACAGAGUUUGAACGAGGCCACCAGCUUCACCCUUUCUCUUCCACUCCUCAGCCGUCGUUUCCAUGCUUUCUUCGCUACAACAACAUUGUUCCGCUACUCGUUCAUCUGCAUGCAUAACAACCCUUCUCAAAGCUUGCAAGAGAAUCCAACAUCUUCAACAAGUUCACGCUUCCAUCAUUCAAAGAGGCCUUGAACAAGACCAAGUUCUCAUUUCCAAUUUCAUUUCCCUCGCCAACACACUUUCCAUUUCCACUCGCUCAUAUUCCACAGCGGUUUUCAACCGCGUUCUCAAUCCCUCUACAUUCCUCUGGAACACUUUCAUUAGAACCCAUUGUCAAAGUAGCUUCUUUUCUGAUACAAUUUCCGCCUUUAUUCGCAUGAAAGCGGAAGGGGCUGUGCCUGAUAGUUACACUUACCCUUCUGUGAUUAAAGCAUGUUCUGGUACGUGUAAGGUUUUGGUAGGAAAGUCGGUUCACGGGUCGGUGUUUAGGUGUGGUUUGGAUCAGGAUUUGUUUAUGGGUACUACUUUGAUUGAUAUGUAUGGUAAAUGUGGACAGAUUAGUGAUGCUCGUAAGGUGUUUAAUGAAUUAACUGAGAGAAAUGUGGUUUCUUGGACUGCUAUGGUUGUUGGGUAUGUUACUGCUGGGGAUGUGGUUAAGGCAAAGAAGGUGUUUGAUGGAAUGCCGUUGAGGAAUGUAGCUUCGUGGAAUGCUAUGAUCCGGGGUUUUGUUAAGGUUGGGGAUUUGAGUAGUGCUAGGGGUGUGUUUGAUUCUAUGCCGGAAAAGAAUGUUGUUUCUUUUACGACAAUGGUUGAUGGAUAUGCUAAGGCUGGUGAUAUGGAAUCGUCGAGGUUCUUGUUUGAACAAGCUGCGGAGAAGGAUGUUGUUACCUGGUCUGCUUUGAUAUCAGGUUAUGUUCAGAAUGGCGAGGCUAAUGAGGCGUUGAAGGUCUUUCUUGAGAUGGAAUCAAUGAACGUGAUACCUGACGAGUUCGUAUUGGUUGGUUUGAUGUCGGCUGCUUCUCAGUUGGGUGACUUAAAAUUGGCUCAACGGGUUGAUUCUUAUGUAGGCAACAACUCUAUUGAUCUUCAGAAAGACCAUGUGAUUUCAGCACUUGUGGAUAUGAAUGCGAAGUGUGGAAACAUGGAGAGGGCGUUGAAAUUGUUCCAAGAAAUGCCUGAGAGAGAUUUAGUCUCGUAUUGUUCAAUGAUUCAUGGGUUUUCAAUUCACGGGCAUGGGGAAGAUGCUGUGAAUCUAUUUAAUAGGAUGCUGAUGGAAGGGAUAGUUCCGGAUGAGGCGGCAUUCACAAUUGUCCUGACAGCUUGUAGUCAUUCAGGGCUCAUUGAUAAGGGUUGGAAAUACUUCAACUCCAUGGAGGAAAAUUAUGGCAUUAGUCCUACACCUGAUCACUUUGCAUGUAUGGUUGAUCUUCUAGGCCGGUCUGGGCAAUUAAGGGAUGCUUAUGAACUUAUAAAAUCAAUGCAUAUAGAGCCUAAUGCUGGUGCAUGGGGUGCACUUAUUGGAGCAUGUAAACUACAGGGUGAUACAGAGUUAGGAGAGAUUGUUGCUAAUCGACUUUUUGAACUCGAGCCUCAAAAUGCUGCUAAUUACGUGCUGCUGUCUAACAUCUAUGCUGCAGCUGGGCGAUGGAAAGAUGUUUCCCUUGUGAGAAGUAAGAUGAAGGAAAGAGGAGUGUGCAAGAUACCUGAUUGCAGUAAACUUUAGUACCAUGCUGAGUUAUUUGUGGUUCCAUGAAUGAAGUUCAGAAUGUACAGAACAUGGAGAUCGGUAUGAGUUCUUGUCCAGUUGAUCUUGAAGCUCAGCAGUUAUUCCAUGGUAGGUAAAUUGCAAAUUAGUUGAUGCUAUAUAAGUUUAUUGCCAUUUUUCACUAACUGUCGCAUAUAAUUUCAACAUGAAAGAACAUGAGAGGAUCUAUUCUCAUUGAAGUUAAGUUAUGCUUUCUUCUAUGUUACUUUGGAUUGAGGUUUUAAUUUCAUUUAUGUCGUUUUUAGGGGUUGAACCUAUCCUGCCUUCAUAAGAUGCCCUGUCAUGAAUAGCACUAUUUAUUCACAACGCAUUUGUUUAUAAUUUUUCAGUAUUUCUUGGACCACAGGAUAUCAAGAGCUUUUUGCAAUUUACAUUGAAAAUGUUGUGUAUGUCAACCACCAAGGAUUUGUGUUGAUGCCCUUACCAUUCAUUAUAUAUUUAUAUUUUUAAUACAUCUACUAGAAGUUUGAUGAUGUUGGUUACAAAUUAAUAUAAUUUCUUCAUGAUUGUCGAUAGAAGAUUUACUAAAACAGAUUGUAAAAGGCCAAUGAGCUCUUUGUUUAUGCCAAACUGCAUAUCAAAGUAAAUUUAUACUUCUUUUUUUGUUUCUUUAAAUGGAGGGCUGUUCAUUUAGUUAUUUCUUUCUUUUAUAACAUGGUUGCAUAAUUUCCUAUUAAUUGCGUAUCAAAUGUUUUAAUUUUAUUAGUGAAAAUUAUAAAAAUGAGGGGUAACCUUGGCGUAACUGGUAAAGUUGUUGUCAUGUGACUGGAAGGUCACGGGUUCAAGUCCUGGAAACAGCCUCUUGUGUAAAAAACAGGGUAAGGCUGUGUACAAUACACCAAUAAUGGUGGGACCCCUUCCCGGACCCCGCAUAUGCGGGAGCUUUAGUGCACCGGGUUGCCCUUUUUAGUGAAAAUUAUAAAAAUAAUAUUUCUAAGUGAAGUUCAAAAUAAGUAACUCAAGACCAGUUUUUUACAUGUAACUCUUGCAUAUCCUAAGCACUCCAUACCUUGAACCGCACACUGUUUCAAAUGUCUUUGCUGAUUCUCUACGUUUUUGUGUUUCCUUUUAAGGUUUUCUUCCACCUCAGUUGGUGGUGUUUUACUGUUGCUUUUAUUGCCUUGAGAGAGUCACCGCUAUUGCUACAGUUGUUUAUGAAGCUUCACUUGUAGCUAAUUAAGACAGUGAAACUGAUGCCUUGUUAGGGAAGAAAGCGAGCCUUGACAAUCAAAUCACAACUUCCCUGUCUUCUUGGAUUACCGGUACCAACCUGUACAUGGAAAGGAUUCAUUGUGAUCAAUCCCAGUCUAUUGCUACAGUUGUUUAUGAAGCUUCACUUGUAGCUAAUUAAGACAGUGAAGCUAAUGCCUUGUUUGGGCAGAAAGCGAGCCUUGACAAUCAAAUCACAAAUUCACUGUCUUCUUGGAUUAGUGGUACCAAUUCUUGUACAUGGAAAGGAUUCAAUGUGAUCAAUCCCCGUCUAUCAUCACAAUAAAGAUCUCAAGUAGCAUUGAAGCAGGUUGGCAGGUAUUGUUUAAAUUUCUAUUGUCACCAUCUGUUUGAAUAAUAUUUUUCUAUGUUUCUUUCUAUCAUCAUCUCCUUCUGAUUCCCUGUUUGUCUUUUCUGUUUUGGCAGCCCAGAUUUAUAUGGUGGCGAUAACAUCAAACUAUUCACUUAUUGGACAGUGGAUUCUCAAUUCGAUUGCCCCAUUUUGUUCUUUCUUUUAAUUCAUUAUAAUAACUUGAUUAAUUACUUUGAUAGAUUGAUGCAUAUCAAGCAAUGGGAUGGUAUAACCUCCCUUGCUCUGGCUUUAUUCAAAUUAUCGAUAUAGGUCUGGGAGCAAGCAUCUUCCCACUUUCUAACCAUGCUUCUUCCCAAUAGGGAGUAUAACUUUAAGCAUCCUGGUAUGAGAGGUACACAUUUUUUAUCCUUUUAUAAUAUUGUCUUUUGUUGUAAGACAUAAUGGAAAGAAAUUUUGCCCCACACGUAAUAAACACUAAAAUUGUAUCAAUGAAAUUGUUAUGUACAAGCACACACACCAUUUUUAAUUGUAAUAUUUUGAUAUUGAUUUUAUUAUUCUGUCUUUUUUAUUUUUGCUUCCUUGUUUUUUUUCCUGAUUAUGAUUGAAUCAUGUUUGCAUCUUUUGAUGACUUUUCUAUUGUCUCUGUCUGUUGGCAAUUCAGUAUUUUUGUUCCUUCUAUUGUCAUGUACUCAAGCACACACACCAUUUUUAAUUGUUAUAUUUUUGAUUUGAACAUAUUAAUCAGUUCACCUUUAUUUGAUUUGCAACUGUAGCACCAAGAACAUUUUGAGACCCACUCCCUGUAGAUGGUUGAAGACUAUGGAACCCACUUGAAGCCAUGACACCACACAGUUAAGCUUGUCAAAGAGAAAAGAAGAAACAGAGUUGCAAGGAAGAGGAGUCAAGGGGAAGCCGUCACAGGGAGGCUACCACGCACGUAAGGAGGAAAACACCCCUCAUGCAAUUCAUAACAUUUUUCCAAAACACGUUAUCCUUAACCGCCUUUUCCACAAUGAUCCCAUCUUUACUCUUUGCAAGUUUACCGGACUUCCACUCUUUCAAUGUGAACAUAAUAAUAAGUGCUCUAUAAUUGUAAUGCAAACACUCUAAUAUCAAGUAAGAUGCUGCAAAACGAGUCAUUGCAGGUUAAAUCAAAUAGUGUCUACAGUAAAUUUGUGCAAUAAAAGAAUAUGAUCUUCUGUAAAUGAAUAUUUUAUCGCUAGCAAUCAUAUCUUGUGGAAAGAAAUCUUCUCAAAAUUUUCCAACAUUAGGUCGAUUCAAUGAGCUGCACAUGGUGUCCAAUACAACUUCUCCCACUUUUGCAUCAACAAUUACCCAUCAACUUUGUAAUUUGCUGCAUUGUCCAUAAAAAUUGGGACAAGUUCUUCAACAACCUUUACAACAAUAUCAUCUUAAAAACAUUGUCGGCAGUUUUUGCUUAUGUUAGACGCGUCAAUAGAUUUCUUAAAAAUGGCUCGCUUGAGAGUAUUCACCAAAAAGUUCAGUAUAGUUCUUCAAGUAUUGGUCCAACCGUCGGUCAUUAUGGUGUAUUCUAAUUUCUUCUUAACGACCCUAUGAUCUUACCGAUCCUCAUUGAUUUUACCAACAUAAUAAUUCAAAUAUUUCACUCUAAUAUCAUGAUUUGGUGGUGGCUUAAAUCCUUGACCAUGUUUAACAACAUAUUUUACGGUAUAACAUUGUUGCAAGGCAGACUUGGUUUUUUUAUUUUUAUUUUAAAUCUCUUCUGAUUCUUAAAGAACCCACAUUUCAGUAGAGUUAAACAACAGUUUUUUCCCACUGCAAACUUGCGAUUUCAACCACACCGCGCACCUCUAGUAAUCCUAUCUGUAUUGCAGUACAGAACCAUGGCUGUUGUUUAUAGGUUUUUAUGAUACAAUGAGGCGAACGCCACGCGAUCUUGACUACUUUGAAAGUACCCAGACCUUAGUUUUUCUAAAAAUAUUACUCCCUCCGUUCCAAAUUGUAUGAUGUUUUGGCCAUUUUACACGUAUUAAGAAAUGUAAUUAAUAUUGUGUGGGGAAGAGAAAUUAUGAAUUGUUUUACAAAAUUAUCCCUUAAUAAAUGGUAUGGAAAAGAUAAAUGAAAUAAUUGAAAGAAGAGGAAGUAAUUAAUAAUUAAUGAUAUAAUAGGAAAAGUAACAUUAAUAUUUCAUUGGUUUUGUAAAGCGACAUAUAAUUUGGGACAAAUUUUUUUUCCGCGACAUACAAUUUGAGACGGAGAAAGUAAUAUCUUAACACAGUGAUAGUAACCGUGCCAAAAAAAUUGGAAAUCAUCAUUGCACAUUAUUGCAUUUUCAACGUGAAUUAUAUCCAUUUAAUAGAAAAUUAAUGUGAGGGUCACAAGUUUUAUUGCUGCAAACUAGAAAAAAGAAGUAAAAAUUGAAAUAUUAGUGGUUUAAGGUUUCCUCGGCAGUUAAUUGCUGAAGUUUGUCUGGCAGUUAACUGCAGUCGGUUUUCUAUUUCCUCGACACUUAACUACUGAAUGGUAUUUGGAUAAUUUACUUGUGUUUCUCAGCCAAACAACAUGUGUAUACAACAAUUUUCUAGAUCUUUUAGUAUCCUAUUAUAAAUUUGUUAACCUCUACAAAUUUGUUAACCUUUACAGUAAUUUAAGCUUACUAAUUUCGUUAAUUUUUUGCAUGUUUAAAUGUAUUAUUAUAAAUUAGAUUGAAAUAUGAUAUAAUAUAUAACGAAAUUCUUUAAAAAUUCAUGUUAAAUAUCAAAAGAGAGAUUAAUCCCAUUGGUAUAAUAGUUCGUCAGUCAAUUUAACCUUAGAUCACUUUACUUAUUUAAAAAUAUUCACAUGCAAUAAACUUUUAAACAGACUAACAAAUCAUAUGAGACUUUUAGAAGAUCAUAUCCAAAUCUAAAAAAAUAAGCUUUUGACAAGUCACAAACUAGAUUAAACCUUACAUUUUUUGACAAGUGAGGAUUAGGCUUUGUAAAGCCUAACUUAGCCUAAGUGCCUAACCUCACCCCUAGUUGAUAAGAUUCCAACUUAAUUAUUCUUGAUCCAUAAUUGGAGCUAACUUCGGCGUAUUACAUUGAGUUGCCGGCUACAACGUGGAUCAAGACACACACCCAAACAAAUACUGUUGGAGUUUGUGAUUAUUUGUACAUAAAAUAUUAGUACUACCUUUGUAUUGGCACGUCUUUAUUUUUUUUAUUAAACUGGACUUCUUUGUUAAUAUAUUGCAUCAUAUGGAUGAAACAAGAGAUGAAAAAGAGUGAAUAAUUUCUUAAUAUACGGACGGUUGUUUCCAUACAAAGCGAGUGACUUUUGCCUGCCUAUUGGUUGCUAUUAGUUAAGCUCAUUUUCACGUUCUAACAUACUGUUCCUUUCCUCUCAUUUUCUCAGAUUUCUCUCUCUCUUUUUUAUAGAUAUCAUGGCAAGUUCGAGCCCUGCCGAAGUCAACAGAAGGUAUGCUUCGUGAUCUUAACAAUUUACUUUUGUGUAAGAUUCUAAGUGUCACAUUUGAAAUAUUUGUUUGUUUCAUAUUAUUUGCUAUUUUAGAAUACCAAUAAAAUGUUAGUUACUUUUUUCUUGUAUAUUUUAUUUCAACUCAAAUAACUACUCCACUAAAUAUCAAUAAUGAUACUUUAGCUAAUGAAGUUCAUUUUUUUUUUUUUUUGUUAAGUAACUCAAAUUAUUAUAAAUUUAUCCUUUAAGGUGAAUAGGUGGAGAUUUGGAAGUUUGAACUCCGGCUGUUACAUAUCACAAUAUUUUUAGUUUUCACCAGUCAAUCUUCAAAAAUUUCAUUCUAAUACCAAACUUAUAUAAAAAAAAGCAGGAGAAGUAAAAAAAAUGCAGGGUCAUCUGUCUACUUGGCUAGUCAAACACGGAAUAGUUCAUAGAUCUUUGGGUUUUGAUUACCAAGGAAUAGAGACUUUACAAAUAAAGCCAGAGGAUUGGCAUUCAAUUGCUGUUAUUUUAUAUGUAUAUGGUUACAAUUAUCUACGUUCCCAAUGUGCCUAUGAUGUAGCACCAGGAGGACUAUUAACCAUAUUCAUGGGGACGCUAAUGAAAAUAAUUUUAUCAUAGAAAUUAAUGCCCUUAAUCAUUUUAUCAAUAAAUAAGCAUAACUUUAAUGACACUUAAUAUGAGACAGAGGGAGGAGUAACCAUUUGGUAUAUAUUAUUGUCUAGAGUCAUAGGAAUGAAAUUGUGUUUAGAAGUAUGGAUUUUGACAUUAUUCAUUCGUUGGAUAUAUUGAAAAUUUGAUACUGGAAAUGGUUAUACUUAUUGCUAAAUCAGAUGCCAUGAUUUUUAAAAAAUUUAUACCAUAUGUACAAUAGGUUUUUCUUCACUCUAAAAAUAGGAUAACGAAAAUCAUUAAAAUUCAAAAGUUGAAUUACGGACUAAAAUUUGAUACAAAAGUAAAAUUAGUCUGAGUUUGACGUCUUAACAGAUUUAAUAUUUUUCCGUCACUAGUUCAAUUUUUUCUAGUAAUAUUUGUUUUAUUGUUUAGUGUUUCCUGAUUCUUUUUUCUUUUUGAAGGGUUCCAAUGUUUAAUGAUUCUUGUAUUGUUAUAAAAAAUCAAAUAAUAAUAAUAAGAUUUUGCAUUUAGAUUAAUCUAAAAUAGACAUCAACGCUCAAUAACAUGAAUUGUGUAUGAAUUUAGGUCUAAAAACUCUUUUCUUCUAUGCAGACUAGAAGGAAAAGUGGCGUUGAUAACAGGUGGAGCUAGUGGAAUUGGCAAACGCACUGCAGAAAUUUUUGUCCAACAAGGAGCCAAAGUAGUGAUCGCCGACAUCCAAGAUGAACUUGGACAUUCGGUUGCUCAAACCAUAGGAUCAUCAACAUGUACAUAUGUACAUUGUGAUGUCACUGAUGAGAGCCAAAUAAAAAAUGUNUAAGAAGCUUGAAUUACAACCCCCUCACUGAAUAAUUAUAUUUUGAUUACACUUUAAUCUAUUUUAACAUAGAUAAUAUUUUUAUAAUAUAUAUUAAUAUUGAAUCACCAUUUAAAAAAUAUAAAUUUGUUUCUUUAUAAUCUAAAUGUCAAUGACAUUAAAUUUAAAUAUUUUGUUAUUAAUUUUAUAAUUUAGAGUAUAAAAUUCACUUUUAAAUAACCAUAUUUAAUCGACUUUAGUAAUUUUUCCCAUAUUUUAAUUUUAUUUUGGGUUGUUUCAUAUUUUAUAAUAGGGAAGGAGAAGGAGAAGGAGUGGAGGGAGAAUGAGUGGAGACGAAGAUUUUAUGGAUGCCGAGGUCGUGAAGGGAGAUGUGAACGUUGGAGAUGGCGGGGAGGAGGUUGUUGAUGGAUUCAGGGUAAACGUCGACACAGAUGGUGGUGAUUUUGGCGCGUGGAAGAGAAGGAAAGAGAGGAAAGAAGAACGGGUGAGAAGAAGAGAGGGAAGAAACAAGUCAAGGGCACUAAGGGCAUUUUUGUCCAUUCAAGUAAAAAAUAUAAGUCAGCAACCACUUACCCCAAUUAACAUCGGACACGUCAGCUAAUCACUGCCACCUCAGUAAGAUUAUUAUCUGAUGGACUAAAUUUUAAAGUGACAAAAUAUCAGCAUUAACCAAUUCAGGGAUCAUUUUUUAAAUGAUUCCUAUUUGCAAGGACUAAACACUACAAGUAAAUAAUGGUUAAAAUAGUAGUUAUGAGCUGAUGGACUUUCUAUAUUGGGUUAUUAUUUACUGCUUUAAAAGAACUUCUUUCUACUAGUUACUUUUACAAUUACAUUAUAUAAAUUUGAGUUCACAUGAUAUAGGAACCCAUUGGUGGAUGCGUGUUCUAUCCAUUUUUAACCAUAUCAAUUUGUUUCUUUUUUAUAAAGGAAUGUGGAUUGAUCUCACUAUUCUACAUAUCAGAAAUGAUUGUUUGGUUAAGCUUGCUAUUAAUUUGUUUCUUUUUUAUAAAUGAAUGUGAAUUGAUUUAACUCUUCUGCAUAUCAGAAAUGAUUGUUAUAUUAAGCCUUGCUAUGUUUUGUUGUAAACAGUUAAAUGUUUUUUUCUUUCUCCAAAUUAGAAGAAUGGAUGAAACUCAUCUCUUGUUUGAUAAUUUUUUUUUUAGAUCUGAAAAAGAAAAAAAUCAGACGCACUACUCGAGACAUUUGCAAUAUGAUAGGUUUUCUUGGUUUUGAUUUCGAUUUCAUGUAUGUUAUGUUUACAUUCUUUUUAAAAAUAAUAAUUAAUAACCUAUGUAUUUUUUCCUUCAUUUCAGCUAUCUGAUGAGUUAUUCGUGCAACAUGCUGAUUACCAGGAGAGAUAUCAACAUUGGCGCGGAGCAUAGUAUUGCCUGACCCAACCCAGCCAUGGAAGUUGGUGUAUCUUUGUUGGUGUGAUUGUGUGUUGAAUUACAUGCUUAGACUGAAUUUCGUUUAUAUUGCUUUGCUUAUGUUGAAAUAUUAGAUUGGUUGAUAUAUAUUGCUUGUGUUGGUGUAGCUUUGCUGUUGUGUUGAAUUUCAUGCUUAUACAGAAUUUCGCUCAUAUUACUUUGCUUAUGUUGCAAUAUUAGACUGAUUUGCUUAUAUUGGUCGAUAGAUAUUGAUGUUUAUAUUGAAAAUAUUUCAAAAGUUAGGACAGGUCCAAUCAAAUUUUACAUUUUAGACAAAAAAAAAAUGAAUGUUUUGUUCCUUAGAAUAUGAUCGAGGAGAUACACAUACUGUGGUUUUUUUUUUUUUUAAAUGUUAAAUAAAGUUUGCAUUGAAUAAACAUCAAAUACAAGUUUUCAUAAAAAAUAUCAUUGCUUGAUCAAAAUAACAUCUUAAAAUUUUAAGUAAAUUACUCUCCCAUCUCCUCAAAGAUGCUUGAAUUACACUUUCCUUCCCUCUUAUGUUAAAAUAUACACACUCCUCCGUUGAAAAGUAAAAUUUAUACUCCCCUCCCCUAUAAGAUGCUUGAAUUACAACCCCCUCCCUAAAUAAUUAAAUAUUGAUUACACUUUAAUCUAUUUUAACAUAGAUAAAUAUUUUUAUAAUAUAUAUUAAUAUUGACUCACCAUUUAAAAAAUAAAAAUUUGUUUCUUUAUUAAUUUGGGUUGUUUCAUAUUUUAUAAUAGGGUUUAAAACUAUAUGUUAAUGAGAUUGUGAAUAAAAAAAAAAAAGAGAAAGAUAUGUAUUUAAAAUUUGAUUAUAUUAAAAUAAAAUGAACCCGCACUACUAUUUUUCUUUGAGGUGCGUUAGAUUAUUUUUUUGCUAGAUUAUUAGAAAUUUUAAAAAAAAAAUUAUUGAGGGACUAAAGAGUGGAUUUUAACUUAAGAGGGGAGGGGAAUGUAAUUCAAGCUUCUCUCAAGGGAGGGGAGGGAAAUGUUUUCUAAUAUGUUUUGAAUAAGAGGGGAGGAAAGUGUAUAUUUUAACAUAAGAGAGGAGGGGAGUGUAAUUCAAGCAUCUUUGAGGGAAUGAGAGUGUAAUUUACUCUAAAAAUUAUUAUAUACGUGACAUAUAAAUUUAAUAUAAUAUUUUUAUAAAGCUAAUAUAAUAUUGUAAAUAGGUUAAUAAUGUAAAAUAUGACUUAAUUAUAAAGAUAAAGUAUACUCAAUAACCAAAAUAAAAUGUUUUGCUCAACUUAACAUCAAAAUACAAAAUAAACUUGUCAAAUUAUAAGUUUCAUAAGUUUCUAAACAAUCCCUUAAUGUUGUUGAUGUUCUACGUCGAAUUUUAACAUCAUAACUGAUGUAAUUUACUAAUAAAAUAAUAUAGCAUUUCAAAAUUUUGCACGCGGUUAAUUUAAAUAGUUAUUUGAUAGAUAAUAGAUACAUAAUAGAUAAAUAUAAUGGAGGUUAAAAUUUACAAUCAAUUUGUAUUUCUAACAUAUAUAAUAUUCAUUCACUCUCAUAUGAGAUGCUUUCAUUCACUCUCACAUGAGAUGCUUGACUCAAAGAGUCAUAUUUAAUUGAUGAAAAAUGAAAGGAUAUCCAUGCAAGAUGCAUUAGUUCAUGGAAGUAGUUGAUUGUGUUGUUUGUGAUUGAAAUACAUGACUUCAAUUAAAAGUCAUGCUUACUUAAUGAUAAUGAUAGAAAAUUAAUUGCGUAUGAUAUAUCUAAUACAUUCAAGAUUAAUUUUUUUAAUUAAAAUAUAUGAUAGAUUAUUAUAUUUUUUAUAGUUUUUAAUUAAUAAAUCAUGCUUUCAACGAAGUCUGAUAUGUUGCUAAAUUUCUCGUCAUUGUUAUUUGAUUCAAACAAGUUGAGAAUCAUUUUACAAUACUAACUUUUGUAAUUGCUAUAUUUCUUAACGUGAUUUAAGUUACUUACUUUUUAGAUCAUUCAAUAAAAAAAAAAGGUUGUUUAUUAGGAUUGAUGUUUGGUCAAUUUAGAGAAAAAUAAUUUGUAUUAAUCAUCCGUUUAAAAAAAUUGUAUUAAUCAUAGUUUUAAAAAUUGGACCAUUGUCGAUUCGGUAAGGUGACUGAGUCACUGGUUCACCGAGCCAUUGGUUGAAUCGCUUGACUGAACCAGAUUAAACUGAAUAACUCGUAUAUAAAACUCGGUCUCUAUAAAAAUGCGUGCGUGUAUUAAACUGAGUUGGAUCAUAUUGAACUAAAUCGCUCAUCUCAAAAAAUAAAAAUAAAAAACUCAUAAAACCUUGUCAAAACUCAUCAAAAUUAACAAUAAUAUGUGCAUUGUAUACCAAUUUGGAGUUGGCUUAGUGGUUGACUUGGGAUCUUGGAGUUUGCUCCUCUUGAAGUCUCAGGUUCGAUUCCCUCUGGUGUCAAUUUCGGUGGGCUAAGUCCAUACAAAGCUUGCUCUGACUUUAAAUGGAUACCGAGUUUUCAAAAAAAAAAAAUAUGAGCAUCGUAUACCUACACAAAAUCAUACCAUAUUUAAUUAAAUAUUAAUAUUUAUUUCAAUUUUGAUGCAUUUAUUUAGAAAGAUACAAUUAUAUUUAAAGAAUGUAUUUUAACUAUAUAUAUAUAUAUAAUAAUAAUAAUAAUAAAUUAGAAACAUUAAAAUUAUAGUAUAAUUUAUAAUAAGAGUUAAGUCAACAAAUUGACUCAUGUGAGCAAUGACCUAGUGGUUGUGUUGUCAUGGUGGAAUUUUUUUUUAUCAAAAAAUAAAGUAAAGUAAAUGACAACUUUUUUUUCCUAAAAAAAACCUUUUUUUAUAAAAAAAAAUUGAACAAGCAUAUACAUUUACAUAUAGUCAAAAAAGAAUUGAAGCAUGCUUAAAAAUAAAAAGCGAUAGUGUACCAAAAAAAAAUGGCAUACGUGAAUAAUGGAAUACACCGUGAUAGAUUAUUAUAUUUUUAUAGUUUUUUAUAGAUUAUAUUUUUAUACGUGAAUUGAAGCAUGGUCUCAAAUUGUAUGUUUUAUAUAUAAUUGAUGAAAAGUCAAAAAAGAAUUGAAGCAUGCUCUCUAAGAGUUACUCUGUUAUUGGGUGAAAUUCAUGUGGGUACCGCACAUUGAAAAUGGAUUCCCCAUAAAGUGGUGAGACCCACAUGAGUUUCACCUAAUAAGAGGGUGAGUGUUAAAGAGAGUGUUAGAAAGAGAGUGUUCCUAGCAUUUCUCUUGUGUGAUAUUGGUUAAAGCUGAUGCCUAUGCCUUGGUGUUGGUUGCAUGUUCAAGUUCCUCUCAAAUUUUUAGAUUUUUUUGAAAAAUAGUUUGAAGCACGGUGAAAGGGAGGCAUUGACUCUCGGUCGGCUAGCACAAACCGCCGGGUCACUGGUUUUUAUUGGGUUUGAUCGAUUUUCACCGAUUUGAUUACAUAACCGAUCUAUUAAGCAGUUUGAAUCGGUUACUCCAUCAGUUUCUAUUUGGAUCGAUCUGACCAGCUGAGUUCGGUUUUUAAAACUGUAUGAUACUAAUAUCUUGUGUUAUUUGUUACGAUGUUUCUUAGAAUUAUUUGUCUUAUAUGCCCAAAAGUGUCUUUUUUAAUAUUGAUUUAGUCGUAGAGUAUUACAAGAAAUUUCAAGACCAUAUUUCUCUAGUGCAUAGUUUGUGGACUAUCUCUUCCUACUCUUAAUAGUACUGCAUGAAUAAUAAGUGAAAUGUAUUUUUUUGCAUAAUGUGUACAUGCUUAUGGUACAUGGUUUGUAAAAUAACUCUAUAUAUUAUUGUUAAUGUUUGGGGCAUGGUUUCUGGACUAACUCUUCUUGCUCUUAAUUGUAGUGCAUAAACACUAUCACAAACAUAUCAUUACAGCACAAACAUGUGGAAUAUUAAUGGACAAAAAUAAAGAGCAUGAAGGUAAGUAAGAAAUUUGAAAAUAAAAUGAUAUGUGUUUGCAUACAUUCAUGUAGAAGUGAAUUGAAUUAUAAAUUUGUGUGUGAAAAUCAAUUCUAGAAUUAAAAGUUAUAAAUCUAUGGAGUUGAAUGAUAAGUAAGAGUGUGUUUGAAUUGGAGAAUGUUUUGAGGGAAUGUAUUCGGGAAUUUAAAUACUUUGGGGUGAAUUCCAUUGUUUGGAUAAUAAUUUGAAGCAUUUUCAAAAUGAUGAAAAUUUAUGAAGUAUUUUGUUCAAGUUAAAUUUAGAGAAUUUCAAAUUUCUUCAUUGUUGUUAUUUUUCAUAUUUUUCAUUUUGGUCCUCAAGUUUUCCAAAAAUUUCAAAUUGACCCCAAUAAAUUUCCAAAAAAUUGCAAAUUGGUCCCUCAAUUUUUUCGAAAAUUAUAAUUUGACCCCUCAAUUUUUUGAAAUUUAUAUUUUGACCCCUAAUUUCAAUUUUCAAAUUUGGCCUAAAAAAAUUAAAAUUUAUAAAAGUUGCUCAAAAAUGAUGACAAUGAAUUUUUGUAUUACUUUAUCCAAACAAAAGAAUUGAGAAAUGAAAGUAAUUCAAUUGAAUCAUUUAAAUUGCCUAGAAUUCUAAAUUCUUUAAAAUUUCUCAAUUACCUCAUCCUAACACACUCUUAACUUUAACUAGAAUCAAUUCUACUCGACAAAAAUAGCUAAUGAAGUUCAUUUUUAAGGGUACUUUAGCUAAUGAAGUUUUUUUUUUUUUUUUUACCAAGUAAUAAUGUUGAUUAGAAAUUUAUCCCGUAAGUGAUAAAUAAGGGAAGAUUUUAAGAUUUGAACUUCGAUCCUUGUAUAUCACAAUGUUAAUCCGAACCAUUAUUUUCAUCAUAGGGAUGCCAAUGAAGUUCAUUUUAUCAUAGACAUUAAUGCACUCAAUCAUUUUAUCAAGAGAUAUGCAUAACUUUAACAACACUUGAUAUGAGACGGAGGGAAUAGAAAACACCGUGGUUUAGUUUCAGCUGAAUAAAACUUCAAACUUAGUAUAAUUUUGUAUAUUUGUAUUUAGAAAUAUGGAUUUUGAUAUUAUUCAUUCGUUGGAUAUAUUGGAAAUUUGAUACAGGAAAUGGUUAUGUUUAUUGCAAAAUCAGAUGUAAUGUCCUCGUGAGUUUAGCUCAGUUGAUAAGGAUAAUGCAUAAAUAUGCAAGGUAUGGGGUGAAUUUAGCUCAGUUGGUAAGGACAAUGCAUAAAUAUGCAAGGUAUGGGGUUCAAACCCCGGCCACCACAUAAAAAAAAAUCCGAUGCAAUAAUUUUUUAAAAUUUUUUUUGAUACCCAUAUGCUCUAAAAAUAGCAUAACGAAAAUCAUUAAAAUUUUAAAGUUGAAUUACACGCUAAAAUUUGAGGUGAAUUCUAGGGUGAUGGUCCAAUUAAGUCCCUCAUCGGUGGACCACUUUUUAUACAUCAUCAGAUUUGAUGAAAGGUUCGGAUUUUUUAAAAAUAAAAUUAGAACUUUGAAAGAUUGCUACACACAAUCAUGCCCCCCAUAUAUUCCACAAUACUCAUAGGAGAUCUGAAUACUUUAUAUGCGGCUGUCGCGUAAGUUAAAUAUACAGAGAAGACAUUGUUCCGGCUAGAAAAUGAAAUUGAACCUUCCUAAAUUGAACUUUGUGUUGGUGUCCUUGAUGCCUUGGCAUGUGGCAACAAUGGAAAACAUAUACAUACAUAAUUUCUUUUAAUAAUUUCAGUGAAUUAGAAAUAAAACAAAGUGAGCAGCAAGCAAUUAUUCUCUUUUCUUUUGAUUUCAUUUCAUUGCAACAUCUUUUUCAAUUCUAUUACUUUUUUUCUUAAACAAAAUUGAAUGGAAAAAUAAAGGUGUGUCGAUGAAUCAAGGAGUUAUUUCUUUACAUUGGUCCAAAUGAUAUUUCAAGAUCUUUCAUUUGGGAAAUACCUUGAUUCAUCUUCUCCAUGGCUGCCAUCAUAAGCAAUUAAGCACCCCAAAAAAUGUUAAAUGCAAGGGCAACAUUGGUGGACAUGGAUGUUUGGUAGCAGAGAAAGGAGAGGAGGAGGGUAUUGAAAAAUAUGUGUGAUCUAGUGUAUACAAUGUAUAAUAGGAUGUAUAUGUUUGAUUAAUCUAAUGAUUCUUAUUUGUUAUUAUAAGUGAUCCACCGGUGAGGGACUUAAUUGAACCCUCACCCUAGAAUUCACCAAAAUUUGAUACAAAAAAAAAAGUGAAAUUAGUCUGAGUUUGACGUCUCUAACCAAUUUUAUAUUUUUCCGACUAAUUCAAUUAUUUCUAGUAAUAUUUGUUUAGUUAUUCAUGAUUUUUUUUUGAAGGGUUUCAUGAUUCUUGUAUCGUUAUAAAAAAUAAUAAUAAUAAUAAGACUCUGCAUUUAGAUUAAUCUAAAAUAGACAUCAACACUCAAUAACAUGAAUUGUGUAGGAAUUUAGGCCUUACGACUCUUUUCUUCUAUGCAGACUUGAAGGAAAAGUGGCGUUGAUAACCGGUGGAACUAGUGGAAUUGGCAAGCGUACUGCAGAAAUUUUUGCCCAACAACAAGCCAAAAUAGUGAUCGCCGACAUCCAAGAUAAACUUGGACAUUCGGUUGCUCAAACCAUCAGAUCAUCAACAUGUACAUUGUGAUGUCACUGAUGAGAGCCAAAUAAAAAAUGCAGUGGACACAACCGUACAAACAUAUGGAAAACUCGACAUUAUGUUCAACAAUGCUGGCAUUGGUGGACCUAACAACUCUCGGAUCAUUGACAACGAUAAAGAAGAUUUUGAACGUGUAUUAAGCGUCAACGUGACAGGUGUUUUCCUCGGCAUCAAGCACGCAGCACAAGCCAUGAUCCCAACUCGCACCGGUAGCAUUAUAAGUACUUCUAGCAUAAGCUCUUAUGUUGGUGGUGCUGCCUCACAUGCUUAUUGUAGUGCAAAGCAUGCUGUGGUUGGUUUAACUAAAAAUGCAGCAGUUGAACUUGGACAAUUUGGGAUUAGAGUUAAUUGUGUGUCUCCUUAUGCUCUUGCAACUCCUUUAGCAACACAAUUUGUUGGAUGUAAUGAUGGUGAGCUUGAAACUACCAUGAACAUGUUGGCUAACCUUAAGGGUGUAACUUUGAAAACUGAUGAUGUGGCAAAUGCAGUACUUUAUUUUGCUAGUGACGAUUCGAGGUAUGUGAGUGG
This 50078-nucleotide long non-coding RNA is filed under the name Medicago truncatula (barrel medic). RNAcentral's name for it is "long non-coding RNA (MTRU_LNC005635)". The stretch from base 25602 to 25665 matches the Rfam family "MIR2629 microRNA precursor family". The record is from RNAcentral. Lineage: Eukaryota; Viridiplantae; Streptophyta; Magnoliopsida; Fabales; Fabaceae.